This 57656-nucleotide long non-coding RNA is filed under the name Gossypium barbadense (sea-island cotton). RNAcentral's name for it is "long non-coding RNA (GBAR_LNC008671)". The record is from RNAcentral. Lineage: Eukaryota; Viridiplantae; Streptophyta; Magnoliopsida; Malvales; Malvaceae.
UAUUCCUUCGCAACCUCAAAAUCCGUCUCGCCGCUUUCGUUGCUACCGACGUCGAGGUCUCGGUAAUUGAAAAACGCUUCCCUCGGGUUGCUUGACGCAUACGGCGCCAUCGCAUUGUACAACCUCCUUGACAUCUCGACAUAACGCCCUGUGCCGUCGGACUGGGACCAUUGGAUCCUGUACAGCACUAUGAAGAGGUUCCCACUGCGGUGCGCAAAGGCUGUCUCCGACUCGGAUAUCUCCUCCAUUCGCCCACCGUAAGGGUUAAAUUGCACGAAUAUGUCUUCAAUGUCCAUCAACACUUGCCAUAAGGUCUCUAACCCUUGUUUGGGGAUCACUGCUUUGUAGUAAUCGGACUUGCUCUUGUAAAACACUCUGUUUACUUGAACUCUAUCGAGCAACACAUCAAUGGAGGUUCCAUUGGGGAAACCCGCCCAAUAUAAGGACGAUUUGACCCAACUCAUCUCUAGACAAUCAUUUCUGGUCAAACCCAAUUCAGAGAAUCUUACGUUCAUUAAUCGUAAAAGUCCAUCAGCUUGUCCCAGAAAAUGGCCGAUGAAUGAAACCCUAACAGUUUUAUUGUUGCCGCCAUUGUUGAUAGGCACAGGCUGGAGUCUAAUGAAGAGAUCUUUGGGCAGUUUAGGAGCAACUUGUUGCCAACGAUAAGCCAGCUCCGUUGCGCCUUGUUCCAAGGUCCUUUGUACGUUGAAAACAGUGACCCUAGGUGGGACACGAACCAGCUUGAUCCGCCAUGAAAGGAUGAUACCGAAGCUAGUAGUUCCACCGCCUCUUAUAGCCCAAAACACGUCUUCCCCCAUUGAUUUACGGUCAAGGAUUUGACCUUUAGCGUCGAUCAAUUGUGCAUCGAUGACAUUAUCAAUGGAAAGCCCGUAUUUUCUUAUUAAAAAUCCAUACCCACCUCCACUGAAGUGUCCACCAAUGCCUAGAGUGGUACAUACACCAGAUGGGAAUCCAUGGACUUCGCUUUUCUGGGCUAUACUAUAAUAAAGUUCGCCGGUAGUAGCUCCGGCUUGAACCCAUGCAGUCUCGGUUUUCAUGUCGAUAGCUAUAGAGUUAAGGUUGAACAUAUCGAGGAUAACAAACGGGACGUCGGAAAUAUACGAAAGUCCCUCGUAAUCAUGUCCGCCACUUCGAAUCCUCAGUUGAAAACCAUGACGCUUAGCGCAAAUGACCGCAGCUUGUGCAUGGGAUGGAUGUAGAGCGGUUAUAAUAGCCACCGGCCUUGAAGUCGCAGAUGAUAAGAUUCGAAGAUUGUUAGCACGUAAUUGAUAAAUAGAUCGGAAAGAUGCAUUGUUGGGAGUCAAUAUAGCGCCAACAAUUGAAACAGAAUGGUCGGAAUGUUUAGGAAGGCAUUGAAGAAAAGCAUCGAAAUCGACCGGAUUGUAAGAUGCUGCCGAUGAAAUGGACAACAAAACGAAAAUCGAAACAAUGAAACAGGUGUAGCUUGAAGCUUUCAUUUUGGAAAUAAUGUGAAGAGAUAUGGUAAUGGUGCAUUGUUGUUAUGGUAUAUAUAAUGGUGAAGGUGUGGCAUUUGGAUCAAAUUGGAAAGCUUAUCUAAAUGUGUGAAAGGUUUAGAAAGCAUACGAAUUAUAAGUUAUAAAACUUUUCAACAACGAAAUUCUUGAGGGUAAAUUAUGAAAAUAGUCACUUUUGUUUGCCUUAAGUUACAUUUUAGUCACUUAUAUUUGAAAUGUUACGUUUUAGUCACUUACGUUAUCGUAUUGUAAUAUUUUAGUAACCGAACCUUUAAUUGUCGUUAACGGUGUAAUGGUAAGUUGAUGUGACACAUUAAAUUAUCAUUUUAAAUGAAAAUUGCAUGUUAAAUUAUACAAUUGGUUUAUAUAUUUUUUCGUUUUAAUUUAAUAUUUUUAAUUUAUGUUCUUUUAACUUUUCUUUUUUUUUUUUUUUAUUUUCCAUUCUCUUCUGCUACUCCCCCUGUUUUCCUCCCUUCCCCAUUUCUUUUAAUGUAAUUUUCCUAUAUUUUCCAUUUAUUAAAACUAGUCCUUAUACUUUUAUUUUUUUGAACAAUUUAAUUUUUUCUUUUUAUUUAUUUAUUUUCCUUUUAAUUUUUCUUUAAAACUAGUUUCAUAUUUUUCACUGCAUAAACAUAAUCUUUGCCCAUCAAAUAACCCAAGUUAUUUUUUUCUUUCACGUGUUUCCUAAAUUAAAUUUCACUCAAAACCUAAUAUUUAUCAUUCUUAAUCAAAUCUCGAUUUGAAUAUAACCUAAUUUUGAAACUAAAAUUGGAUUUGACUAAUCAAUAUAAAAAACCAUAUCCUUAAUAAAAUCUAAACAUAAAUUUAAUUCUUUAUAUUCAAAACAAAAUUUUCCGUUUUCAAUUUUUUACAGAAUAGUAUAGAUUAUUCAUUUCCUUUUAUUUUAUUUUCUAAUGAAUAAAAUUAAGCAAACUAUAAAAUUGAUAUAAACCUUCUUGGAUAUUCCCAAACAAGCUUGAUUGGAGGUCGAGCCUGGAUGAACAGAAGAGAGAAAGGAAGCAAGGACUCAAAUUGAUUUAGGUUAUGUUGAGGGUAGUUUCGUAUGGUAUUUGUUUUAGUCAUUGAGAGUGUAGAGUUCGUUUGAAGAAUCCGUGAAAUAACGUUGUUUCGAGAGGAUGAGAAUGGUGUAGGUAAGGUAAAUAAGGUGGUUGUGGGGGUUGGUUAGGAGGUUGAGGGAACAAGCUUGUGAAACUUUUUUUAGGCUGGAUUGCCAUAAGUCAUGACUGGCUAGGUCUUCAAGUGAGGCGAGCUUGUAGGCUAAGUCAUAGAGAGAUCCAAAUUGAUUUGUUAAAGCGAUGAUGGAUGAUAAGAGUUUGUAAUUGUGGGGUGAGAAUAUGCAAAGCAAGUUUUAUUUUGGUUUUAGCUUUCGCCUUUUCUUUUUUCAUAAACAUAAAAAAGUUUUAAUAAAUAGAAAAUAUAGAAAAACUACGUUAAAAGAAAUGGAUAAGGUAGGAAAAUAGAGGGAGAAGCGGAAGAGAAUGGAAAAUAAAGAAAAAAAGAAAGUUAAAAGAACAUAAAAGAAAAAAAAUUUAAUUGCUCAAAAUAAAAAAAAUAUAGGGACCAAUUGUAUAAUUUAACCUAAAAUUUUUGUUUGAAAUGAUGAUUUAACAUGUCAUGACAGCUUACUAUUACACCGUUAACGGCAAUUAACAGCUCAGUGACUAAAAUAUUAUAAUACAAAAAAAAAGUGACUAAAAUGUGACAUUUCAAAUAUAAAUGACUAAAAUGUAACCUGAGAUAAACAAAAGUAACUAUUUUAAUAGUUUAUCCUUUAUUUUAUUAUUAUUAUUAUUUAAUACAAUAUUUGUUUUCACAAAAAUAUAAAAUAUUCAAUCAUUCUUGAAACAGGGGAAGCUAGGAAUUAUUUUUGUAGAAGGGGCUAAAAUAUAAUUUCACCUUUAUUAAUUUAAAUAUUUAAAAAUUAAAAGAUUUAUGUAAAAAAAUUUUCUAGGUGCCGGCACGCUAUGCCCCUGUCUUGGAAUCAAUUAAAAAUUGUUAUUAAUAGUAAUAAGUUACUAUUACCGUACCUAUGUUUGGUUCAACUUUUAAUUAGAGGGUUUAAUUGAAUUUUAAAAGGAAAUUAAGUUUAUAAACUAAAUUUUAUAAAAAUAGAAUGCUGAAUAAAAGACAUAGAUGUAUAUAUAAACAUGAUAAGAUUUUUUUUUUUUUUACAUACCCCUCUAUCAGGGGACAAUUUAAUAGUUAGGUAGAGUUCUUGACGGUGGUGUAGUUGGGGACUGGUGGAGGAAUGAGUCUUUUAUAAUUUUUAAAAUUAAUAAAAUUACACUUUGACUCUUUAAAAUUUAUAAACAUUCAAGCAAUUAAAAAGAUAAAAUUAUAUUUUUAUUAUCGUAAAAGUUACAUUUUUACUAUCGUAAAGUUUGCAAUUUAAUUUCGGUCCGUCCUAAAAAUAAUUUCUGGCUUUGCUCUUGAUUCUUGACCUCUCAAAAUAAAAAAAUUGUUUGUUUAGUCUCCUCUAAAAUAGUAGAAUUAUAAAUUAAUACAUGAUAAAACUAUACUUUGAUCCCUAGAAAAAAAAAUCUUUCUAAUCUCUUAAAAAUAAUGAAAUUAUAAAUUAAUAAAUGAUAAAAUUAUUUUUUGACCUCUCAAAAGUUUAUAAUUAAAUUUUAGCCACUUUUAAAAGAAUUUCUAGAUUCACCCUUAGAUGAAAAAGGACAAAUAAUUAUCAAGAAAGAGCAAAUAAUUAUCUUCGAUCCACACCAUAAGAAUGCGAUCCCUAUGACCUGAACCCACAAUUUGAACAAAUCAUUGCCAGGCACAGGUAGGAAUUCCGGCGACUUGCGACUUGAACAGACAGUAUGAGCUGUAGGGUGAAGACUUAUAACCAAUAAACCUAACGUUGGAGUUCAAUGAGAUAUUUAUGCAUAUGUAAUAUAAUUAUUAUGGUUUUUAAAAUUUAAUGUUAUAAAAUUUUUUAUUAUUUAUUAAUAUUAUUAAGCUGAAUUCAACUAGAUAAAUAGCUCGAGCUCGACUCAAUAAUUAUUGAAUCAAGUUUGAAUUUCCUUCGAGUUGAACUUAAGUAGCUUCUGAAUCUUAUUGUCUCAUUUAUACUCUAUUUCAAAUUCUCUACUCUCCCAAAAACACUUUUUUUUUGUGUGUAUGAAAAUGACGGAACCAAGCUUUCAGGAAGAGUACAUUGCCAACUAUCCUAUAAUAAAGUUUGCCGGUAGUAGCUCCUACUUGAACGCACGCCAUCUCGGUCGACAUGUCGAUGUCUAUAGAGUUUAGGUUGAACAUAUCGAGGACAACAAACAAGACGUUAGAAGUUUACGGAAGUCCCUCGAAAUCAUGACCACCACUUCAAAUCCUUAGUUGAAAAUCAUGUCUCUUGGCGCAAAUGAUAGCGGCUUGUGCAUGAGAUGAAUGUAGAGCAGUUAUAAUGGCAACCGAUCUAGAAGUUGCUGAUAAUAAUGGUCGAAGAUUGCUAGCACAUAAUUGGUAUAUAUAUUUAAAAGAUGAAUGGUUGGGAAUUAAUAUUGCAUCGCAUUUAUUGAACACGUUGCAAAUACCUUAGACGACAAUCGACGAGCAAUUGAAGAAUAGCCAAAACAGGCCCGACGUCGGGACAAGGAGCGUUGGCUUGUUAGGACGAUACGAUGGACGAUGUCAUGACGAGGCCAAUGAGACAUUGCGAUAUCACGAUGUGUUCUCUCCUAUUUGGCAACCACAUUUUAGAUUUUAAAUAGGACUUCUUCUUUUAGUUAGAUUCUGAUUAUUUCAGAAAUAGUAUGAUUAGAACUUUAAUUUUAAUCUAUUUAAAGGGCCAUCAUAUCCUUAUUUUGAUAAGCCAAUGAGUAAUGACUUUUCUUUGAGAGUGACAAAAUGUAGUUGCAUAUGAAUUUUGGUGAAAGUUUCGUGGCAACUAUCGAAAUAAUUUUGUUCAUAUUUUACUCUUGUUUGUUUACUCAUUUAGUGAAAAAUCCAAGCCUCCUUUAUUCGUGGUUUUUAUUUCUUUGAGGGCUUUUCACUAAAAUAUUUGUGUUCGUUUUUCUCUGUAUUUUCUAUUUUGUUGUUUAUAUGAGUCGAUCCCAACAUUUUGCUUUUAAACAUUAUGUGACAAUGUUCUAUUUAUUUAAAAUUUUUUAUUUUAAAAUUAGCUACAUAAGAUUUGAUGUGUCAAUAGUUAAAUUAAUGGUUUUAAUAACAAAAUGACCUGAUUUAUAUAAUCCUGAUCUUUUAAGGAUGUAAUUAGAAUAUUUUGAAGUUUGGGACCAAUUUAGAUUGAAAGUUUGGGGAUGUUUAGUACAAUUAACCCUACAUAAUAUUAAUUGAUUUCAAGAAAAUUCAAGAAUUAAUGUAAAAAAAAAAUUAAAAUUUUAUAUAUUUUUUAUUCUUUUAAAAAAAUAGAUUUUAUAGAAUUAAAAUUUUAUAUUUGGGUCAAAUAAAAAAUUAAUAUAUAUGGAAAAAAGUCGAAUGAAGAUUUUAUUCAAUUUAAAACCAAUAUAAAAAACAAAAAUGAAUUUUCUUUAUUGAAAAGUCUUAGAAACAUGUUGUUGAAAGGUGGCCCAAUCAUGCUGCUGAGAUGUCUUUGUUUAAUGUAUGCAACUUGUAUGCAUGAUGCAGCUCGUGUGUAUGCAGCAGUAAUAUGCUUUGUGUUUUAGUUGCAAUGUGAUGUUGCUUAGAAAAUGAACAAGUUUAAUGACAACUUGAUGCGUUUAGGUAAUAGAUUGACUUGUUUUAGUAUACAUGUUUAAGACUUCAACAAUUUGAGAUAAGCUCUGAGCUGAUCCAAACAGGUCCCUCCCCUCUUUAUAUAUAUACCCCCCUCAAAUCAUAAUAACAAUGCACCAAUACCAUCUGGAAAAAAAAAUGAAAAUUUCAAGCUCCAUCUUUUCCCUUAUUUCAAUCUUCAUUUUGUUAUUGAUUUCAUCGGCCACAUCUUCCGAUUUUGAUGGUUUUCUUCAAUGCCUUCUUCAACAGUCUAAUUCUUCUCUUCCGAUCAUCGAUGCAAUAUUAACUCCCAACAAUUCGACUUUCCAAUCUAUAUACCAAUUACGUGCUAAUAAUCUUCGAACCUUUUUAUCAGCAAUUUCGAGACCGGUGGCCAUUAUAACCGCUCUACAUCCAUCCCAUGCACAAGCCGCUGUUAUUUGCGCCAAGAGACAUGAUUUUCAGCUAAGGAUUCGAAGUGGUGGUCAUGAUUUCGAGGGACUUUCGUACACUUCUAAAGUCCCAUUUGUUAUCCUCGAUAUGUUCAAUCUAAACUCUAUAGAUAUCGACAUGUCGACUGAAACAGCGUGGGUUCAAGCAGGAGCUACUACCGGCGAACUUUAUUAUAGGAUAGCCGAGAAGAGCAAUGUCCAUGGAUUCCCAUCGGGUGUUUGGACCACUCUAGGCAUUGGUGGACACUUCAGUGGAGGUGGGUAUGGGUUUUUAAUGAGAAAAUACGAGCUUUCCAUUGAUAAUGUCAUUGAUGCACAGUUGAUCGACGCUAAUGGUCGAAUCCUGAACCGUAAAUCAAUGGGGGAAGAUGUGUUUUGGGCUAUAAGAGGCGGUGGAAUAACGAGCUUUGGUAUCAUCCUUUCAUGGCGGAUCAAGUUGGUUCGUGUCCCACCUAGGGUCACUGUUUUCACCGUGCAAAGGACCUUGGAACAAGGCGCAACGGAACUGGCUUAUCGUUGGCAACAAGUUGCUCCUAAACUGCCCAAAGAUCUCUUCAUUAGACUCCAGCCUGUGCCUAUCAACAAUGGCGGCAACAAUAACACUGUUAGGGUUUCAUUCAUCGGCCAUUUUCUGGGACAAGCUGAUGGGCUUUUACGAUUAAUGAACGUAAGCUUCCCCGAGUUGGGUUUGACCCGAAAUCACUGUUUAGAGAUGAGUUGGGUGGAAUCGACCGUAUACUGUGCGAAUUUCCCCAAUGGAACCUCCAUUGAUAUGUUACUCGAUAGAGUUCAAGAAAACAAAGUGUUCUCCAAGAGCAAGUCUGAUUACUACAAAGCAUUGAUCCCCAAACAAGGGUUAGAGACCUUAUGGCAAGGGUUAAUGGACAUUGAAGACAUCUUGGUCCAGAUGAACCCUUACGGUGGGCGAAUGGAAGAGAUUUUGGACUCGGAGACCGCGUUUGCACACCGAGCCGGAAACCUCUUCAUGGUGCUGUACAGGGUCCAAUGGUCCGAGUCUCACGGAGGGAUCAACACCACGGAACGUUACGUUGAGAUGUCGAGGAGGUUGUACGAGGCAAUGGCCCCGUACACAUCGAGCAACCCAAGAGAAGCGUUUCUCAACUACCGAGACCUCGACAUUGGCAGCAACGAAAGCGACGAGACGGAUUUCGAGGAUGCUCAAGAAUAUGGCGCUAAAUAUUUCCGAAACAAUUUCAUAAGACUAGCAAAAGCGAAAGCCACGAUCGAUCCUGAGAAUUUCUUCAAGAACGAGCAAAGCAUACCACCAUUGCCUCAUUGAAAUCCUGGCCUUCUACAAUCAUCUAUAAAUGAAAACCAAAUAUCUUAUGAAUUUGCUUGUAAUUUUAAACAUAUCAUGCUCUUCCAUGUAUAAGAAAUAAGAAUAUCUUUAUGUGAUUUUGUUUGUGUAAUUCAAUUUUACCAUGCAUUUCACAUUUCCAAAUUAUGAUUCUUAUUUUCAAUUAAUUCUCAAAUUUUAAAAUAUUUUAAUUACAUCCUCAUAUUAUUGAAGAAGGCAACAUCAAAGGGUUGGUAGAGGCCAAGCCCCCUAGAAUAGGAAAAUAUCACAUUGGCCCUUUCAUAAUUUAUAAAAUUAUAAAUUAGUAAACAAUUAAAUUGUACUUUGACCUUCAAAAUGAUAAUUAAAUAUUAUAAAUAUAUAAGUUAAUACAAUGGAUAAAUUACAUUUUAGCUCUCAUAAAAACACAAAACUCGCCUCCUAAAAAAACAUAAUUUAUGGCUUUACCCCUACUAUCAAUGUUAUAUGAAUUAGAUUCUUUCAUUAUCAAUGUUAUAUCUUAUGUAAUUAAAUUUAAAAUGAAAAUUUUAAAUAAAUAAAAAGUUGUCUCAUAACAUUUAAAUAAAAUAAAAGUCCAUUUAGUCCAAAUAAAACGCUUUAGCAGAGUAAACCGGAAACAAACGAACUUAACACCGGAAAAAUCACCGAAUAUAAAGAUAUGAGCAUUGGUCGACAUGAAGCUCUAAUAUCCUAAAUAGAACAAAAUCAAUAGCAAAACAUUUGUUGACAACAAACUCCCAAUUUUGCAAGACUACCAUUAACGAAGCUAUUCGCUUCUCGACGCGUCUGAACAAAGUUAACAUUACCAAAUUCGUGCCCAAACAAGUCGAAAGUCUUACAGUAUCUCCAAGGCCUCAACAAAGGUCUUAAAAUCCAUGUAAUAGAGUUCAGUGAAUCGGAUUCUAUAUAUAAUUAGUGUAACAUCACUUUUACAUGGAGAUGAGGAGAAGAACUAAAGGGUGGCAACAAUCGCCUUUAGUGCUGCUUCAGCAAGGGACAAGGCAGCAAUCGGUCCAAAAAAACACCAUGCACCAGUCCGUCACUAACCCUCAGCACACCACCUUUACCAGCGCAAUUAGAGCCAAUCGUCUAAGCUCCAUCCACGUUAAAAUUCAGAAUUGAGACACCAGAGCAUUUGGCACAUGGUACAUAAGGCCAAACGACAGUCGGAUUAAAAUCCGCGGGCAAAUUGGAAAACACCAACGAGACCACCAAAAAAUUUAAAAAAACUGAUUACCAUGCAAGUUCACCAUUCGAGCAUCAAGAUUCAAUAAGCCACCAAUCUUAUGAGUAACAAGUCACCCAAAAAUUCAGAAAAUAUCCAGGUUCUCUUAAAAACACCACCACAAUAAUUUCUUGCAAACUCCCAAUAAAUAUAGAUUGACCAAAGCUAGAAAAGCACAUAAUAGAAACUAUAGAGAGAAAAAAAUAAUGAUCCCUUGUGCUAUGGAAACGGAUAGAAAAUGGACCAUGAACUUUUUCAAUAUUUCCUAAUCCACCUUUUCAUAACUUAAAAACUCACUAUCAUUAUAACUUGUAUAACUUGCAUAGCAUCUAUUGAUACGAGUAACUCAGCCCAAUUCAAAGGCCAUAAUAGUGAUGAGUUUAGUUUUCCUCAAAACCCAAUUACGAGAUCCAAAUCCAAACAAAUAAAGUCAAAACUCAACUUAGUGGUUCAAGACUUUAUCACGAAAAAAAUUCAAGAAGAAGAGUUGAAGUUUCAAGACAAUAAAUUCUGGAGUAAUGAUGAAUUAGAAGAGACUAAUUAUGUUUGUGGGCCUAAACUCUCAAUCUAUGACGACAAGCCCAUGUGGAAAAUGCUAACAAGCUUAAACAUUUCACUUCAAGAACCCCAAUUGAUCUUACAAGCUUAGACAUUUCAUAUUGGGUUUAAGUUUUAGGCUUAAUUUUUUUUAUAUAUAAGCACAAUAUUUUGUUUAUUAGCUCUUAUUAUUUUAUUAUUAUUUUAUUCCGAAUUUUUGAUAAUUAUUAAGUAUUUUAAGUUAUUUAGGAAUUUAUGUUAACAAGAAAGUUUAGUUUAAAACUACUUCUUGUUUAGAUUAAAUUAGAGUUCUAGUAUACUUAGGAGUUUUAUUUAGAUUUAUUUAUCUAGCCUAUAUAUAGGCCUUUGCAUUGUACACAGGGAGACAAUUGAUUAUUAUUCUAUUUCUCUUUUGAGUUAAUAAAUUCUCUUUGAGUUUUUUCUUUUCAAGAAUUUCUCUUGAGUUUCUUUUAGAAGAGUUUUAACAAUCUUUUUAGAUUGUGGGGAUCAUCUUUAAACUUUUUCUUGCCAAGGUUUUUAUCUUGGAGGGGAAAUUAGAGCCGCUUGAAGGGGGUUGUGGAUUCUUCGUGUUUCCAAGGCUUCUUAGGACUUCUACACGCCACGUUCUAUCUUUCCAUUUAUCUUCUUUAUUCACUUCCUGAAUCCUUGAUUUAUUAUUUGUUUUAAUUAUUUUAUCUAACUUGGAUUUAAUUUCGUUUUAGGUUGUGUCAAGAAAAAUCCAAGUUUCUUUCCGAACGUCUAGAGCCCUAAGUCAAAUCCGCGACUUUGACAAACUUUACGAUCCGCUUUCGCGUUCAUCCUUCUCAACCUUUAUCAUUUGGUAUCAGAUUUGGGCGUUUUAGGUGUUCUUUUUUAAAUUGAUUUCUCGAAAACAGCUUCAAAACAAAUUUUACCCCUAUAGUUUUCAAAAAAAAUAUUUCUCAGUGGGUAAACGAUUUUCAAAUGAUCUAAAAUAUUGCAUACUAUUUCUUGGCACUAUUUUAAAGUAUAAAAAAAUAUUUCCCACAAAAAAAGUGAUAAAAAGUACAAAAAAUAAAAUACGAAAAAAAAUAAAAAAAAUUCUGUGGGUUGAAUUUUGUGCCGAAACUUUCCAGAUCAAAUCUACAUUAUUUGAGGAGGCUUCAGUUUAAAUUUUGUGAUUUUUGGAAAUCGGGAACACCUUGAACGAAGUUUGUCAAGUUGCUUCGCAGUUUUUCGGGUUUUCAGGUUUCAACAAUUUUCAUUGACUCUUAGCUUUAAGUAUUCAUUUGUUUUCCUUUUUAUUUGUUCCUUACGCAUUCUAACACUUUCUUGUUUCUUGUGUUAGUAGGUUAAAGCACGUUGCAUAUUCCUUCAUCCGUGCAACAAAAUUUUUUGAUGUCUAAGCAAAUUUUGGACUCAUAGUGCUAUUAGGUUUGCUUUGAUAGUUUGAUUCUAAAACAUCUUGAUUGAUUGAUAUAGACACUUUUAAAAGACUCACAAGAUUAAUUCUUACCUCAUUGAGAAUUUUUUUUUGAGUGCAUAUAGGUGAGGUUUGCUUAAUUUUUUCUUUUGAAGUGUUGUGCUUUUCCAGGCUUUCACUAUGACUCGUGACACUCGUGCCCGUAAAAACCAUGAUGAGAUACCAUCUGAUGACAAAGAACAAGAUGUUACAUUGGAGAAUAUUGUGGGGAUGGUAAAAUUGCAACAUCAACAAUUGAACGAGGUACGUGAUACAUUUGAGGCCAAUUUGACUACGUGUCAACAAAACUACAAGAGAACAUUAAUCAGCUUUCCAAUCAUAUUCAAUUGCUCACUCAAGCUGUUGCUCGUUUGGAGACUUCUUCGAAUCGACGAUCUCGUGCUCGUGAUAGUGAUCAUGAUAGGGAUAAUGAACAACUUCGUAUUCGUUCUAAUCCUGGUAGACACGAAUAUCGUCACAUUGAUGAAACUUUGGGUAUUUCUAAUCAAGGCCAUCCUUCUGUCGCUAAACCAAAGUUCAACAUUCCACCAUUCCAAGGAAAGUAUGAUCCAGAUGCAUAUUGCGAUUGGGAGGAUAAAAUGGAGAUCAUGUUUUGUUGUUAUAAGUGUCUGGAGGAGGAGAAAGUUCCAUUAGCUAUAUUGGCAUUUUCUGAUUAUGCAUUGAGUUGGUGGACUCAACUUGUGUUGAACCGCCAAAGGAAUCGUGAACGAGAUGUUGAUUCAUGGGAACAGUUGACACAAAUCAUGUGAAAACGUUUUAUCCCACCUCAUUAUUAUAGGGAUAUUAAACGAAGACUUCAACGCCUUGUUCAAGGUAAUCGAUCUGUUGAUGAGUACUUUAAAGAGAUGGAGAUGCUUAUGCAUAGAGCAAAUAUCCAAGAAGAUGAGGAGACUACCAUGGUGCGGUUUGUAGAUGUUUUGAAUGUUUCGAUAGCCAAUGUUCUUGAUCUUCAAACCUACACUGAUCUUGAAGAUACGGUACGUAAGGCAAUUGAGAUUGAGCGACAGUUUCAACAACGUCAAUCUCGUUCAUUUAGUACUUCACAAUAUUAUAGAGGUACGAGUUCUAAUUCUACUUUCAAGAAUUCGAAAUUUCCUUUUGCUACUAAUAAGUUGCUGCCAAAACAUGAUGAGACUAAAUCUUUUGAGGGGAAAAGUGGGGCUCCUACAAAACCUUCUUCUUCAUCUUCUAAGCAGUUGUAAUGGCGUAAAUUCAAUGUUAUCGGAACAGUGGUUUCGUAACUACAAAUCCGAUUUAAAGAGAAAUUUAUUUCAAUAUUUUUGCUUGAAAAUUUAUAUGAUAGGAAAAUCGUAUGAAAAUAUUGAUAGGAAAAUUUUAUCAAUUUAAUGAUUAGUUAGAAAAAGAAAUUAUUGAAGAAAUUGGGUAAAAUAAGGUAUCGGGACCUCUAUCUCGUAAAACCGAGUCAAAAAUAAUUUUAUAAAUAUUUAUGAAAUGUUAUUAAUGUGGUAUUAAAAUUUCGUUAGGAAAUUUUAAUGUUUGGGUAGUCAAUUAAAUGAAAAGGACUGAAUUGUAAUAGGUGUAAAAGUUGCUAGAGUGAUUAAAUAGCUUAUUAGUCUAAUGAGAAAGGAUAUAAAAGGCAAUUAGACCCAAAAUUUAUUUGGGCUGGACGGCAAGGGUAUGAAAUCAGCAGAAAAAUUGAUAAAUUAAGGGUAAAAUUGGAAUAUUGCAAAAUUAACUAAAUAAAACUAGGACUAAAUAGGAAAUAUCUAGAUUUCUCUUCAUUUCUCUUCAAUUCCAGCAGCUAAAAACGCCAUAGGAGGGUUCUAUAAGCUGGUAUUUCAUAAUUUUUGCACCAAGUGAGUUAAUACUUGCCUUUUUCUUGUAAUUUUUGUGUUUCUAAGACUUUUACAACUAGAUCCUACUAUUAAAUUCAUUAGUUUUUGAUUUCAUGGAUGAAAUUUAAAGUCACCAUGGUUGAGUGCUGUAAGUUUAUGAUGAAAUAGAAUGAAAUUAAAGCUUUAAUUUGUUUAUGAGAUGAUUUUAUUAGGCAAUUUCAAUGGAAAUUGAUUUUUGGGACCUAAUUGUGAAAAUGUUUGGAAUUAAAGUCUAUUGCUGAAAUUCUGAUUCCUAAAGGUUGUAAACUAGUUUAAGGUGAUAGAAUAAAAUGUUAAUUGAGAAAAAUCAGCUCAAUUGAGAGACUAGUUGAGUAGGGACGAAAUUAUCAUUUAUUAAAAGCUUAGGGGAAAAAUGGUAAUAAACAGCUUGCACUAAAACAGUUUGGACAGCAGCAGUAGACUAAAUUUGAAAAAUCACCAAAAAUUGUAGGAAUCGAAUUAGGAGAUGAAAAAAAUAUGGAAUUAAAGCUUAUUGAGUCUAGUUUCUCAUAGAAGAAAUAUUGUAAGCAAUGGGUUUGUAAAUUUUGAGAUAUAAUGAAUUUUGUGAGAUAAGGUCAGAAUGAAUUCGGGUUCCCCUGUUCUGACUUUGAAAAAUUAUAAAAAAUUGAAUAAAAAUAAUUAGGGACUUAAAUUUAUAUGUCUAGAAUUCUGAAUGAGUAUAUUUUUAAUAGAAACAAACAAGAACAUCAUUUGAAUUCUGUAUAAAGAGAUAAUUUAUUUUUAGUGAAGAAGGGUCAGAACUAUUAGACAACAGAACAGGGGUGACUUUGAAGAAUAAACUGUACUGAUUGGCUAAACCAAAAAUUAUGAAAAUUUUAUGGUAAAAAUAUAUAUGAGUCUAGUUUCAGGGAAAAUUAACGGAUCUUAAUUUGGAGUUCCAUAGCUCAAGUUAUAAAUAAUUUAGUGACUAUGACUCAAGUAGACAGCUUUGAAUGAACUAUAAAUAAUAGUUGAAUUAUAGAGAAUGUUGCAUAUGAACAUGAAAUGUAUUAAAUUGAUAAUUAAAUUUAUUUAUUUAGAUCCAGAAGAUUCAAAUACGAAGCUAGAUCGAGGAAAGGAAAAAGUUCGGGAUUAAUAGAUUUUUACUGUUUACAAACAAGUAUCAAGGUAAGUUCAUGUAACUUGAAUUAUAUUCUUAAAUGCUUGAAAUGCAUGUUUUUUAUAUGAAUAUGAUUUGAAUGUUCAUUGUAUGAAAAUUUAUGAAACAUUGAUAUAUUUGAUAAAAUGGGAAGAAAUCCCGUUUGAAUGAAAGGAAAAUUUGAUGGAUCUCUGAAAAGGAAUUGACGGUAAAAAGGAUCUAGCCCGGACGGGUGAUCCUAUCCUGAUAUAGCCCUCCCGAAGAAUAUGUGUAAAAUGGAUUUAGCCCGGACGGGUAAUCCGAAUUAGGGUCUGAAUUUAGCCUGGACUGGUAAUUCAGAUCCAAGCUCAUUAGAGUAAUUGUCGUUGCAGGAGAUUUAGCCUGGACUGGUAAUCCCGACAAUACUCUAUGAGUUUAUAUUGCAGGGGAUUUAGCCUGGACUGGUAAUCCCGCUGCAAGGUUGAGGUUCGCGGGAGUGUGCUCUCUGAAAUGGAAAUGUGCGCACAUGAAUAUGAAUUGACGGACCCGGAAUUGUACACUAAAAGUGUACCUCUGAAAAUCCAUCGAAAAUUCCAAGAAAUUCAACGGAUAAAUAUGGAAAAAUAACAAGGAAAUGGAAAUCAUAGUAUAUAUUAUUGGUACAUGGAAAUUAUUGUACUAACUUGAAUGUUGAGUUUGUGCAUGUUAGGGUAAUAAUGCAUUAAAUGGAUAUAUGAAUGUUUAUUAUAUUGUAUUGAAAAUAUUAGGUAAGUAUAAUUCUUGUUACAUGAGCUUACUAAGCACAAAGUGCUUACCCCGUUUCCUUUUUCCCUGUUUUGUAGUGUUAAGAGCUCGGACGUCGGAUUUGGUCGGAGACACAUCACACUGUCAACCUCAGGAUUUCGGUAUAUAAAGAAACUUUAUUUUGGAAAUCAAUGGCAUGUAUAAGCUAACAAAGUAAAUGUUAACGUGAAAUGAAUGUAAAGUUAGCCAUUAGUAUGGUUAACAAACCUGGUUAUAGAUAUGUGAUGACGUUAUCUUAUAUAAAUGCAUGAAUCUAUCAUGAAAAUAUGUUGAAUUGAAAAAAAAAAUUAAUUCGUAAACUCCGGUAAUGCCUCGUACCCUAUUUCGGCAAUGAAUACGGGUAGGGGUAUUACAUUUAUUGGUAUCAGAGCUACGGUUUAGCCGGUUCUAAGACCGAUGUAGCAAAUACGGGAUUAGCUAUACAUGCCAUUUAAAUUAUUAUUGACAGUGUGAUAUCUCCUGACCAUUUAAAAUGUGUUUUUCUUAUAGUAAUGUCAUCCGACCGAGCUCAAUCUGAGGAAGUUGGGAGUCAUGCUCCGGCUUCAGUACAAAGAGAAGAAACUAGCAGUAGAAGGCUCGAGACAGAGGGUCGAGGGGAGGAGGCAAAAACAGCCUUCUUUCAAAUGAUGAAUGAAUGGUUUAAUCAAUACUUAAGAACUAACCCUGUAGUGCAGCAAGUUCAAGCUCCCCCUCCUGCUCCUUCACCGGUUCCCGAGAUCCCACAAGGUACAGGUACUGAAUCUGUCAGAAAAGGGAAAGCUCCAGUAGAUAAAAUUCGAAAAUAUGGGGCCGAAGAAUUUCGCGCAACAGUUGAUGAUGAUUCCGAAUGGGCUGAAUUCUGGUUAGAAAAUACUACUCGGGUUCUGGAAGAAUUAUCUUGUACACCAGAAGAAUGCCUGAAAUGUGCCGUCUCACUGCUAAAAGAUACAGCUUACCAUUGGUGGAAUACUAAAGCUUCAGUUGUUCCGAAAGAAGAAAUUACAUGGGAAUUCUUUCAGACUGAGUUCAGAAAAAAAAAUAUCAGCCAGAGGUUCCUUGACCAGAAAAGAAAAGAAUUUCUUGAGCUAAAACAGGGCAAUAGAUCAGUAUCUGAAUAUGAAAGAGAAUUUGUUCGAUUGAGUAAAUAUGCUCGAGAAUGGGUACAGUCAGAAGUUGAAAUGUGCAAACGAUUCGAAGAAGGGUUGAAUGAAGACAUUAAGUUAGUGAUCGGAAUUCUUGAAAUUCGAGAGUUUGCUACAUUGGCAGAGAGAGCUUAUAAAGCAGAAGAAUUGAGCAAAGAAAAGAAACAGGCUGAGAGGGAAGCUCGAAUUUUUAGUAAAAGACCAAUGGGAAAAUCCCAGUUUUCUGCUUCAAAGAAAUUGAAGAAAUAUCAGGAUCGUUCUACUUCAGCCAUUGGGUAUUCGGGCAAAGAACGAGGUUCUCAACGCAUUAAUCCAAGGCCUUCUACUCCAUCAGUGACCAGUGUUGGCAGUGUUGACACUCCUAAACCGAGAUGCCAGUACUGUAAUAAAGCUGUAACACCCCUUACCCGAGACCGUUUCCGGAGUCGAGCACGAGGCAUUACUUAGCUUAUCUUACCAAUUCGGAGCAUAAAAACUAGGUUUGAAAAUUUAUUUCAUUAUUCGCAGCAAAUCUGUCCAAUCGCGCAGCAGUUACUAAAUUAAUUAUAACUUGAGCUACAGAACACAAAAUUUAAUUCCGUAAAUUUUAUCUGAAACUAGACUCAUAUAUCUACUCACCAUAAAAUUUUUAGAAUUUUUGGUUCAGAAAAUUAGUACAGUUUAUUAGUUAAAGUCUCCCCUGUUUCACCACCUGACUGCCCUGACCUCUAGUCACUAAAAAUAAGUUUUCUCACUGUAGGAUUUUCAUAUGAAGUUAUUACUUGUUUCUACAGAAAAUAGACUUAUUAAGGAAUCUAAGCAUUUAAAUUUCAACUCAUAACCAUUUUUUUACAAUUUUUAAUUAUUUUCUAAACUCAGAACAGGGGACUCCAAAAACAGUUCUGACCCUAUCUUACUAAAAUUCACAUAUCUUAAAAUAUAAAUUUCCUUUUUCUACACCGUUAUUUUUCCAUGAAAAUAGACUCAACAAGCUUUAAUUCCAUAUAUCAUUCACCCUCUAAUUCAUUUUAUACUAUCUUGGGUGAUUUUUCAAAUUCACGUUACUGUGCUGCCUGAAUUCUGUUUCUUUGCAAAAUUUUAUCCUUUCAUGAUUUCCAUGCAUAAUUUAUCACCUAAUCUUUCAUAACAACAAACACCUUCAUCCUUAACCAUUUUAAUAACCAUACAUCAUCAAAUACUUACACAUCACUCAUUAGCAAAAUCAUCAUUACAAACAUACAAAAUAACUAAAUCCCUAUACAUGCCAUAACUCAAACGUGUUUCGAUAUAAAAUACCGAGCAGUUGUAGUUGAUAGUGUGGACGAUCUCUGACUUCUUUAGGAUCCUUGAAGUAGCUUUGCAAUACUAUAAGAGAAAGAGAAAUAAAAGAAGUAAGCAUAAAGCUUAGUAAGUUUACUAGCAAAUAAAUAACAAUAUUUAACUUAAAUAAUUAAACUUAAUGUCUAUAUCUCUAGUUUACUCUUUAGUUAAUCUCAUACUAGUUCUCUUACUUGUUUACUUAGAAUACUUGUGUGCAUAACUUACUCAAUCAUUGCUGCAUCGUUGAACAUCAAUUGAUAGUAUAAUAAGUUCUUAAGUCUUACAACUUACAUGAGUUUGCCAUUUAUGCUUUAAACUGAACUUUCAUGAACAUGAUUCGUUUACAAGCCCGUUGAGCUACAUUGGAAUAAUAAGGAUACUCGGGUCUCUUCUGAUAAUAACAUGCCAAAGCCAUGUCCCUGACAUGGUCUUACAUGGGAUGUUCUCGUGAUGGUGCCCAUGCCAUGUCCCAGACAUGGUCUUAUAGGGGAUCUCUCAUCUCGGUGCCAACGCCAUGUCCCAGACAUGGUCUUACAUGAGACCUCUCGUCUCGGUGCCCAUGCCAUGUCCCAGACAUGGUCUUACAGGGGACCUCUCAUGAUCUUAAGGAUGCCAAUGCCAUGUCCCAGACAUGGUCUUACAUGGGAUCUCUUUACCCAAAUGUCAUGACAUUCGUAUCCAGUACCAUCCUUAUGUAUCAACGGGACUUUUAAAUUUUAAUUCUCUAUCAUUUCAUACUCGGAUCAUCAUCAAAUAAAUUCAUAAAAUAAAUUCAUAAUUGCUGGAAAUUAACAGCAUUAAUAAUAAAUAUUGAAAUAUUGCAUUUAUUUACCGUAAACUUACCUCGGUACCAAUUAUAGCCAAAUUCACCAACUUAGUCUUCAACUUUAUUCUUCCCUUUGUCUAACCUCGAGUUUCAUACUUCUUGAUCUAAAAUAGUAAAUUUAACUUAUUUAAUAAUCACAUUCAUUAAAACAGCCCUCGACUCUAACUUUUUCAAAAUUACAAUUUUACCCCUAAACUUUUACAUAAUUACAUUUUUUCCCCAAGGCUCGGAAAUUAAACUUCAUCUCUUAUUAUUAUGUUUUAUAACAUUCUGAACAUUUUUCCCUUCUAUGGCAACAUCAAAUUCCCACUCUAACAUGUACUUAUGAACAUUAGGUAUUUUUACCGAUUAUGUUGUUUUACUCGUUUUCACUUAAAAUCGCUUAGCAAAAGUUGUUUAACAUAAUUUCUAGCUUCAUAUUCUAUCAUAAAACAUCAAAAUAAACACUUUUCACCUAUGGGUAUUUUUCCAAAUAUAAACCCUAGGUUAAAUUAUUGCUAGAAUAAGCUAAAUUAAGCUACCGGGAUCUCAAAAACGUAAAGAACAUUAAAAACGGGGCUUGGGAUCACUUACUAUGGAGCUUGGAAGUUUGAAAACCCUAACUAUGGCUUCCCCCCUUGCUGAUUUCGUUCAUAUGAAGAAGAUGAUGAUUUUUGCCAUCUUUUUCCCUUUUAAUUCAUUUUAAUUACUAGAUUACCAAAUUGCCCCUAACUUAAAAAUUUUCUAUUUCACUUAUCUCAUGUCCAUUUUUGUCUACCAAGUUACCAAUGGUAUAAUUACCAUAUAAGGACCUCCAAUUUAAAGUUUCAUAACAAUUGGACACCUCUAACAUGUAGAACUCAACUUUUGCACUUUUUACAAUUUAGUCCUUUUGACUAAAUUGAGUGCCCAAACGUCGAAAUUUUCGAACGAAAUUUUCAAAAAAUCAUUUUGUGAAAUUGUAGACCAGAAAAAUAUAAGAAAAAUAAAAUUUUUCUCAUCGGAUUUGUGGUUCCGAAACCACUGUUCCGAUAACCUCAAAUUUGGGCCAUUACAACUCUCCCCCCCUUUUUAGGAUUUUCGUCCUCGAAAAUCUUACCAGUAAAGAGAUUCGGGUAUUGCUUCCUCAUUGUCUCUUCCGGUUCCCAUGUUGCUUCCUUAAUCCCGUGCUUUUGCCAUAGCACUUUCACCAGAUUUACCUUUUUGUUUCUAAGCUCCUUUGUUUCUCGUGCUAAUACUUUAACCGGUUCUUCAUUAUAAGUCAUAUCCGGCUGAAUUUCUACUUCUGUUGGAGUAAUAACAUGUGAAGGAUCUGAUCGAUACCGUCGUAGCAUAGAUACAUGAAAUACAUUAUGAAUUUUGUCGAGUUUCGGUGGUAAAGCCAAUCGGUAAGCAACUGGUCCAAUUCUUUCUAUAAUCUCAUAUGGUCCGAUAAAUCUUGGACUCAAUUUACCCUUUCGACCGAACCGGAGAACUUUCUUCCAAGGAGACACUUUUAAGAAUACCUUAUCACCCACCUGAAAUUCAAUCUCCCUUCGUUUAAGAUCGGCGUAUGACUUUUGACGAUCGGAAGCUGCUUUUAAACUAUCCCGAAUCAGUCUUACUUUUUCUUCUGUUUCCCGAAUCAAAUCAACCCCGUGUAUCUUCUUUUCACUGAGCUCUGUCCAAUAUAAUGGUGUUCUACAUUUUCUACCAUACAAAGCUUCAUACGGAGCCAUUUUAAUACUAGACUGAUAACUGUUAUUAUAAGAAAAUUCAAUCAAAGGUAGAUACCUUUCCCAAUUACCUUGAAACUCUAAUGCACAACAUCGGAGCAUAUCUUCCAAUACCUGAAUUACACGCUCAGAUUGGCCAUCUGUCUGAGGAUGAAAUGCAGUACUGAAAUACAACUGAGUACCCAAAGCUUCUUGCAAUUUGUUCCAGAAACGAGACGUAAAUCGGGGAUCUCUGUCUGAUAUAAUGGAGACAGGCACUCCAUGUAGUCUAACAAUCUCAGAUAUAUACAAUCCAGCCAAUUUAUCUAAAGAAUAAUCCAUACAUACUGGGAUAAAGUGCGCGGACUUUGUCAAUCGGUCGACAAUUACCCAAAUGGCAUCUUUCUUCCUCGGAGAUAACGGUAACCCAGAUACAAAAUCCAUAGUGAUUCUUUCCCAUUUCCAUUCCGGUAUAGUGAUUGGCUGAAGCAACCCCGAAGGUACCUGAUGUUCAGCCUUAACCUGCUGACAUACUAAACAUCUUGAUACAAACUCAGAGAUAUCAUUUUUCAUACUCGGCCACCAAUACAUCUUUUUCAAGUCAUUAUACAUUUUAUUACCUCCCGGAUGUACGGACAUAAUACCACUGUGUGCUUCGUGUAAAAUCUUCUGUACAAGUUCUGAAUUCUUCGGUACACAUACUCUGCCUCUGAAUAAUAAACAACCAUCAGUUCCAAUCUGAAAUUCUGAAUCAUUACCUGACUCACAAUGCACCCGUUUAGCCUGUAAUUUCUCAUCAUUCCUCUGAGCUUCACAUAUUUGUUGACGAAAUGUCGAUUUAGCUCUCAAUUCAGCUAUGAUUGAACCAUCAUUAGAUAGUGACAACCGGGUAUUCAUAGCUCGUAAAGCAAAUAGAGAUUUUCGGCUCAAAGCAUCAGCUACCACGUUAGCCUUACCCGGAUGGUAAUCAAUAACCAAAUCAUAAUCCUUUAUCAAUUCAAGCCACCUGCGUUGUCUCAAAUUCAAAUCUUUCUGUGUCAUCAAAUAUUUCAAGCUUUUGUGAUCAGUAUAAAUAUGACACUUUUCACCAUACAAAUAAUGCCGCCAUAUUUUCAAUGCAAAUACAAUAGCAGCUAACUCGAGAUCAUGUACCGGGUAGUUUCUUUCAUGUGGCUUAAGUUGUCUUGAAGCAUAGGCUAUUACUUUAUCUUCUUGCAUCAAGACACAACCCAAACCAUUUAAUGAUGCAUCACUAUAAAUAAUAAAUUCCUUAUCCGAUUCAGGCUGUACCAACACAGGUGCUUUCGUUAACAACUCCUUCAAUCGGUCGAAACUUUGCUGGCAUUUUUCUGUCCAUUCAAAUUUAACAUCUUUCUGUAAUAAACGGGUCAUUGGAGAAGCUAUCAUAGAAAACCCUUGUACAAAUCUCCGAUAAUAACCAGCUAAACCCAAGAAACUUCUAACUUCAGAUACAUUCUUCGGUGGACUCCAAUUGACAAUAGCUGAAAUUUUACUCGGAUCUACCCUGAUGCCUUCUGCGGAUACAAUAUGUCCGAGAAAACCUACCUCUCGAAGCCAAAAUUCACAUUUACUGAAUUUAGCAUAAAGUUUCUUUUCACGCAGAAUUUGCAACACUAUUUUCAAAUGUUCUGCAUGCUCAGUUUCAUCCCGAGAAUAAACUAAAAUGUCAUCAAUAAAAACUACUACAAACCUAUCUAGAUACGGUCUGAAUAUCCGGUUCAUCAAAUCCAUGAAUACUGCAGGUGCAUUAGUCAACCCAAACGGCAUAACCAGAAACUCAUAAUGCCCAUACCUGGUUCUGAAAGCUGUCUUUGGCACAUCUGGCUCUUUUACCCGUAACUGAUAAUAACCCGAUCGGAGAUCAAUCUUUGAAAAUACUGUGGCACCUUUCAGUUGAUCAAAUAAGUCAUCAAUUCGAGGCAAUGGGUACUUAUUCUUUAUAGUUACCUUAUUAAGCUGCCGAUAGUCAAUACAUAAUCUCAAAGACCCGUCUUUCUUUUUCACAAACAGAACUGGAGCACCCCAAGGUGAAUGACUCGGACGAACAAAACCUCUGUCAACAAGUUCCUGUAACUGUGCUUUAACUCUUUUAAUUCUGUAGGAGCCAUACGAUACGGAGCUAUGGAAAUUGGGGCAGUUCCCGGAAUCAGAUCUAUAGAAAAUUUCACUUCUCUUUCUGGUGGCAACCCUGGUAACUCCUCUGGAAAUACAUCAGAAAAUUCACAUACAACUGGCACUGCCUGUAUCUUUGACUCAGAUACCUUAGUAUCCAACACAUACGCCAAAUAAACAUCAUACCCUUUUCUAACACACCUCUGAGCUGUCAUAACUGAAAUCAUAUCGGAUAAUCCCUCUGUCUGAUUAGAUUUAACCCAAAGUAAUUCUCCAUUCUGGCAUUUCAACACAACAUAUUUUUGUCUACAGUUUACUACUGCAUCAUGCUGAGUUAACCAAUCCAUGCCCAAUAUCACAUCAAACUCAUCAAAAGGCAAUAACAUCAAGUCAACCGGGAAACAAAUACCUUUUACCAUCAGUGGACAAUUUUUACAAACUUUAUCCACUAUCACAAACUGGCCCAGGGGGUUCGAGACUUUAACCAUAAAUUCAGUAGGUUCAACAGACAAAUUUUUAACAAAUGCUAAUUUUGUGCAUAUAUAUGAAUGUGUAGAGCCAGGAUCAAUUAAUGCAAUAACAGUAGUAUCAUAGAGAGAAAAUGUACCCGCAAUUACAUCAGGAGAGGACGCCUCUUCACGAGCUCGAAUAGCAUAUGAUCUUGCAGGUGCUCUAACAUCUGAUCUAACCGCUGAAUCUUUGAAUGCACCCCUAUUACUUGCCCCCACUCCUGAGUUUCUCUGCAGUCUACCUCUGGUAGGAGCAUUACCUGAUCUCGCACUCGUUAUUUCUUCUCUUUUAGUUGUUUCAGGACAAUCCCGAAUAAAGUGAUCAGAUGCUCCACAUCUGAAACAAACAUUUUCACCUGCUCUACACUCUCCGGGGUGGCGUCUCCCACAUUGAGGACAUUCCGGUCUAGGAGGUCGAGUACUGCCAGUACUUUCAACUGUAGUGGUUUGAGCUCUAAAUCCCUCGAAUCUUCUACUUCUGCUUCGGCCAGAAUAUAUAUGUGGAAAAUGUGAUCCGCUAGAGAGCUCCCUAGGCCUCUUAGAUGUAGACUGAAAUGAUUUACUCAUUUGCCUCUUCUUUGUAUCCUGCGCUCCAGCUUCAGCUUUGCUCUUCUCUUUUUCUUUUAACAAGUCUUCUACUUUACAAGCUCUUUCUACCAGAACAACAAACUCUCUGAUUUCCAAUACACCCACUGAUAGUCGGAUGUCAUCAUUAAGCCCAUCUUCAAAUCUCUUGCACAUGUUGGCUUCGGUGGAUACAAAUUCCCGAGCAUACUUACUAAGUCUGACAAAUUCGCGUUCAUAUUCAGUCACGGACAUCUUACCUUGUUUUAGCUCAAGAAACUCCUUCCUUUUCUGCUCUGUAAAUCUCUGACUGGUGUACUUCUUUCGAAACUCCUCCUGAAAGAAAUCCCAAGUAACCCUCUCACUCGGUACGAUAGACACGAGAGUCUUCCACCAAUGAUAAGCGGAAUCUCUGAGAAGUGAGACCACACACUUCAUACAUUCUUCCGGUGUACAAGAUAAUUCUUCAAAAACCCUGAUGGUAUUCUCAAGCCAGAAUUCUGCUUUUUCUGCAUCGUCAUCUUUGGUAGCCCGAAAUUCUUCAGCCCCUUGCUUCCUAAUCUUAUCAACAGGUGGUCUCUCCCUGAUAAAUAUACCUGCAGCUGGGGAAGCUACAUGGGGAACCUGUGAACCUUGAGGGGGUGGAGGUCUUACAGUCGGAUUCGUACGAACGAACUCGGCAAACCAAUCAGUCAUGGCUUGGAAGAAGGCUUCUCUAGCUCCUCCUCCCUGUCUAUCUGAUGCAGGUCUUUCACUAACAUUAACAUCUGAUGGCACCGUCCCUUCUGCGGGAAUAGGUGCAUUACUCUCUACUUCAUCUGUACUAGCUCGUUCAGGAUCCAUAACUAUAAAAGAAAACAUUUUAAAAUCGUCAGGAGUCGUCACACUAUCAAAAUAUAUAAGUAUGGCAUGUAUAGGUAGACUCUUAUUCUUACUGAGUAUUUCCGAGAACCGACUAAACCNNNNNNNNNNNNNNNNNNNNNNNNNNNNNNNNNNNNNNNNNNNNNNNNNNNNNNNNNNNNNNNNNNNNNNNNNNNNNNNNNNNNNNNNNNNNNNNNNNNNNNNNNNNNNNNNNNNNNNNNNNNNNNNNNNNNNNNNNNNNNNNNNNNNNNNNNNNNNNNNNNNNNNNNNNNNNNNNNNNNNNNNNNNNNNNNNNNNNNNNNNNNNNNNNNNNNNNNNNNNNNNNNNNNNNNNNNNNNNNNNNNNNNNNNNNNNNNNNNNNNNNNNNNNNNNNNNNNNNNNNNNNNNNNNNNNNNNNNNNNNNNNNNNNNNNNNNNNNNNNNNNNNNNNNNNNNNNNNNNNNNNNNNNNNNNNNNNNNNNNNNNNNNNNNNNNNNNNNNNNNNNNNNNNNNNNNNNNNNNNNNNNNNNNNNNNNNNNNNNNNNNNNNNNNNNNNNNNNNNNNNNNNNNNNNNNNNNNNNNNNNNNNNNNNNNNNNNNNNNNNNNNNNNNNNNNNNNNNNNNGUUCCGAUAACCUCAAAUUUGGGCCAUUACAAACUCUCCCCCCCUUUUUAGGAUUUUCGUCCUCGAAAAUCUUACCAGUAAAGAGAUUCGGGUAUUGCUUCCUCAUUGUCUCUUCCGGUUCCCAUGUUGCUUCCUUAAUCCCGUGCUUUUGCCAUAGCACUUUCACCAGAUUUACCUUUUUGUUUCUAAGCUCCUUUGUUUCUCGUGCUAAUACUUUAACCGGUUCUUCAUUAUAAGUCAUAUCCGGCUGAAUUUCUACUUCUGUUGGAGUAAUAACAUGUGAAGGAUCUGAUCGAUACCGUCGUAGCAUAGAUACAUGAAAUACAUUAUGAAUUUUGUCGAGUUUCGGUGGUAAAGCCAAUCGGUAAGCAACUGGUCCAAUUCUUUCUAUAAUCUCAUAUGGUCCGAUAAAUCUGGACUCAAUUUACCCUUUCGACCGAACCGGAGAACUUUCUUCCAAGGAGACACUUUUAAGAAUACCUUAUCACCCACCUGAAAUUCAAUCUCCCUUCGUUUAAGAUCGGCGUAUGACUUUUGACGAUCGGAAGCUGCUUUUAAACUAUCCCGAAUCAGUCUUACUUUUUCUUCUGUUUCCCGAAUCAAAUCAACCCCGUGUAUCUUCUUUUCACUGAGCUCUGUCCAAUAUAAUGGUGUUCUACAUUUUCUACCAUACAAAGCUUCAUACGGAGCCAUUUUAAUACUAGACUGAUAACUGUUAUUAUAAGAAAAUUCAAUCAAAGGUAGAUACCUUUCCCAAUUACCUUGAAACUCUAAUGCACAACAUCGGAGCAUAUCUUCCAAUACCUGAAUUACACGCUCAGAUUGGCCAUCUGUCUGAGGAUGAAAUGCAGUACUGAAAUACAACUGAGUACCCAAAGCUUCUUGCAAUUUGUUCCAGAAACGAGACGUAAAUCGGGGAUCUCUGUCUGAUAUAAUGGAGACAGGCACUCCAUGUAGUCUAACAAUCUCAGAUAUAUACAAUCCAGCCAAUUUAUCUAAAGAAUAAUCCAUACAUACUGGGAUAAAGUGCGCGGACUUUGUCAAUCGGUCGACAAUUACCCAAUGGCAUCUUUCUUCCUCGGAGAUAACGGUAACCCAGAUACAAAAUCCAUAGUGAUUCUUUCCCAUUUCCAUUCCGGUAUAGUGAUUGGCUGAAGCAACCCCGAAGGUACCUGAUGUUCAGCCUUAACCUGCUGACAUACUAAACAUCUUGAUACAAACUCAGAGAUAUCAUUUUUCAUACUCGGCCACCAAUACAUCUUUUUCAAGUCAUUAUACAUUUUAUUACCUCCCGGAUGUACGGACAUAAUACCACUGUGUGCUUCGUGUAAAAUCUUCUGUACAAGUUCUGAAUUCUUCGGUACACAUACUCUGCCUCUGAAUAAUAAACAACCAUCAGUUCCAAUCUGAAAUUCUGAAUCAUUACCUGACUCACAAUGCACCCGUUUAGCCUGUAAUUUCUCAUCAUUCCUCUGAGCUUCACAUAUUUGUUGACGAAAUGUCGAUUUAGCUCUCAAUUCAGCUAUGAUUGAACCAUCAUUAGAUAGUGACAACCGGGUAUUCAUAGCUCGUAAAGCAAAUAGAGAUUUUCGGCUCAAAGCAUCAGCUACCACGUUAGCCUUACCCGGAUGGUAAUCAAUAACCAAAUCAUAAUCCUUUAUCAAUUCAAGCCACCUGCGUUGUCUCAAAUUCAAAUCUUUCUGUGUCAUCAAAUAUUUCAAGCUUUUGUGAUCAGUAUAAAUAUGACACUUUUCACCAUACAAAUAAUGCCGCCAUAUUUUCAAUGCAAAUACAAUAGCAGCUAACUCGAGAUCAUGUACCGGGUAGUUUCUUUCAUGUGGCUUAAGUUGUCUUGAAGCAUAGGCUAUUACUUUAUCUUCUUGCAUCAAGACACAACCCAAACCAUUUAAUGAUGCAUCACUAUAAAUAAUAAAUUCCUUAUCCGAUUCAGGCUGUACCAACACAGGUGCUUUCGUUAACAACUCCUUCAAUCGGUCGAAACUUUGCUGGCAUUUUUCUGUCCAUUCAAAUUUAACAUCUUUCUGUAAUAAACGGGUCAUUGGAGAAGCUAUCAUAGAAAACCCUUGUACAAAUCUCCGAUAAUAACCAGCUAAACCCAAGAAACUUCUAACUUCAGAUACAUUCUUCGGUGGACUCCAAUUGACAAUAGCUGAAAUUUUACUCGGAUCUACCCUGAUGCCUUCUGCGGAUACAAUAUGUCCGAGAAAACCUACCUCUCGAAGCCAAAAUUCACAUUUACUGAAUUUAGCAUAAAGUUUCUUUUCACGCAGAAUUUGCAACACUAUUUUCAAAUGUUCUGCAUGCUCAGUUUCAUCCCGAGAAUAAACUAAAAUGUCAUCAAUAAAAACUACUACAAACCUAUCUAGAUACGGUCUGAAUAUCCGGUUCAUCAAAUCCAUGAAUACUGCAGGUGCAUUAGUCAACCCAAACGGCAUAACCAGAAACUCAUAAUGCCCAUACCUGGUUCUGAAAGCUGUCUUUGGCACAUCUGGCUCUUUUACCCGUAACUGAUAAUAACCCGAUCGGAGAUCAAUCUUUGAAAAUACUGUGGCACCUUUCAGUUGAUCAAAUAAGUCAUCAAUUCGAGGCAAUGGGUACUUAUUCUUUAUAGUUACCUUAUUAAGCUGCCGAUAGUCAAUACAUAAUCUCAAAGACCCGUCUUUCUUUUUCACAAACAGAACUGGAGCACCCCAAGGUGAAUGACUCGGACGAACAAAACCUCUGUCAACAAGUUCCUGUAACUGUGCUUUAACUCUUUUAAUUCUGUAGGAGCCAUACGAUACGGAGCUAUGGAAAUUGGGGCAGUUCCCGGAAUCAGAUCUAUAGAAAAUUUCACUUCUCUUUCUGGUGGCAACCCUGGUAACUCCUCUGGAAAUACAUCAGAAAAUUCACAUACAACUGGCACUGCCUGUAUCUUUGACUCAGAUACCUUAGUAUCCAACACAUACGCCAAAUAAACAUCAUACCCUUUUCUAACACACCUCUGAGCUGUCAUAACUGAAAUCAUAUCGGAUAAUCCCUCUGUCUGAUUAGAUUUAACCCAAAGUAAUUCUCCAUUCUGGCAUUUCAACACAACAUAUUUUUGUCUACAGUUUACUACUGCAUCAUGCUGAGUUAACCAAUCCAUGCCCAAUAUCACAUCAAACUCAUCAAAAGGCAAUAACAUCAAGUCAACCGGGAAACAAAUACCUUUUACCAUCAGUGGACAAUUUUUACAAACUUUAUCCACUAUCACAAACUGGCCCAGGGGGUUCGAGACUUUAACCAUAAAUUCAGUAGGUUCAACAGACAAAUUUUUAACAAAUGCUAAUUUUGUGCAUAUAUAUGAAUGUGUAGAGCCAGGAUCAAUUAAUGCAAUAACAGUAGUAUCAUAGAGAGAAAAUGUACCCGCAAUUACAUCAGGAGAGGACGCCUCUUCACGAGCUCGAAUAGCAUAUGAUCUUGCAGGUGCUCUAACAUCUGAUCUAACCGCUGAAUCUUUGAAUGCACCCCUAUUACUUGCCCCCACUCCUGAGUUUCUCUGCAGUCUACCUCUGGUAGGAGCAUUACCUGAUCUCGCACUCGUUAUUUCUUCUCUUUUAGUUGUUUCAGGACAAUCCCGAAUAAAGUGAUCAGAUGCUCCACAUCUGAAACAAACAUUUUCACCUGCUCUACACUCUCCGGGGUGGCGUCUCCCACAUUGAGGACAUUCCGGUCUAGGAGGUCGAGUACUGCCAGUACUUUCAACUGUAGUGGUUUGAGCUCUAAAUCCCUCGAAUCUUCUACUUCUGCUUCGGCCAGAAUAUAUAUGUGGAAAAUGUGAUCCGCUAGAGAGCUCCCUAGGCCUCUUAGAUGUAGACUGAAAUGAUUUACUCAUUUGCCUCUUCUUUGUAUCCUGCGCUCCAGCUUCAGCUUUGCUCUUCUCUUUUUCUUUUAACAAGUCUUCUACUUUACAAGCUCUUUCUACCAGAACAACAAACUCUCUGAUUUCCAAUACACCCACUGAUAGUCGGAUGUCAUCAUUAAGCCCAUCUUCAAAUCUCUUGCACAUGUUGGCUUCGGUGGAUACAAAUUCCCGAGCAUACUUACUAAGUCUGACAAAUUCGCGUUCAUAUUCAGUCACGGACAUCUUACCUUGUUUUAGCUCAAGAAACUCCUUCCUUUUCUGCUCUGUAAAUCUCUGACUGGUGUACUUCUUUCGAAACUCCUCCUGAAAGAAAUCCCAAGUAACCCUCUCACUCGGUACGAUAGACACGAGAGUCUUCCACCAAUGAUAAGCGGAAUCUCUGAGAAGUGAGACCACACACUUCAUACAUUCUUCCGGUGUACAAGAUAAUUCUUCAAAAACCCUGAUGGUAUUCUCAAGCCAGAAUUCUGCUUUUUCUGCAUCGUCAUCUUUGGUAGCCCGAAAUUCUUCAGCCCCUUGCUUCCUAAUCUUAUCAACAGGUGGUCUCUCCCUGAUAAAUAUACCUGCAGCUGGGGAAGCUACAUGGGGAACCUGUGAACCUUGAGGGGGUGGAGGUCUUACAGUCGGAUUCGUACGAACGAACUCGGCAAACCAAUCAGUCAUGGCUUGGAAGAAGGCUUCUCUAGCUCCUCCUCCCUGUCUAUCUGAUGCAGGUCUUUCACUAACAUUAACAUCUGAUGGCACCGUCCCUUCUGCGGGAAUAGGUGCAUUACUCUCUACUUCAUCUGUACUAGCUCGUUCAGGAUCCAUAACUAUAAAAGAAAACAUUUUAAAAUCGUCAGGAGUCGUCACACUAUCAAAAUAUAUAAGUAUGGCAUGUAUAGGUAGACUCUUAUUCUUACUGAGUAUUUCCGAGAACCGACUAAACCUGCUCUGAUACCAAUAAAAUGUAACAACCCUUACCCGAGACCGUUUCCGGAGUCGAGCACGAGGCAUUACUUAGCUUAUCUUACCAAUUCGGAGCAUAAAAACUAGGUUUGAAAAUUUAUUUCAUUAUUCGCAGCAAAUCUGUCCAAUCGCGCAGCAGUUACUAAAUUAAUUAUAACUUGAGCUACAGAACUAAAAAUUUAAUUCCGUAAAUUUUCCCUAAAACUAGACUUAUAUAUCUACUCACCAUAAAAUUUUUAGAAUUUUUGGUUCAGAAAAUUAGUACAGUUUAUUAGUUAAAGUCUCCCCUGUUUCACCACCUGACUGCCCUGACCUCUAGUCACUAAAAAUAAGUUUUCUCAUUGUAGGAUUUUCAUAUGAAGUUCUUACUUGUUUCUACAGAAAAUAGACUCAUUAAGGAAUCUAAGAAUGUAAAUUUCAACUCAUAACCAUUUUUGUACAAUUUUUAAUUAUUUUCUAAACUCAGAACAGGGGACUCCAAAAACAGUUCUGACCCUAUCUUACUAAAAUUCACAUAUCUUAAAAUAUAAAUUUCCUUUUUCUACACCGUUAUUUUUCCAUGAAAAUAGACUCAACAAGAUUUAAUUCCAUAUAUCAUUCACCCUCUAAUUCAUUUUAUACUAUCUUGGGUGAUUUUUCAAAUUCACGUCACUGUGCUGCCUGAAUUCUGUUUCUUUGCAAAAUUUUAUCCUUUCAUGAUUUCCAUGCAUAAUUUAUCACCUAAUCUUUCAUAACAACAAACACCUUCAUCCUUAACCAUUUUAAUAACCAUACAUCAUCAAAUACUUACACAUCACUCAUUAGCAAAAUCAUCAUUACAAACAUACAAAAUAACUAAAUCCCUAUACAUGCCAUAACUCAAACGUGUUUCGAUAUAAAAUACCGAGCAGUUGUAGUUGAUAGUGUGGACGAUCUCCGACUUCUUUAGGAUCCUUGAAGUAGCUUUGCAAUACUAUAAGAGAAAGAGAAAUAAAAGAAGUAAGCAUAAAGCUUAGUAAGUUUACUAGCAAAUAAAUAACAAUAUUUAACUUAAAUAAUUAAACUUAAUGUCUAUAUCUCUAGUUUACUCUUUAGUUAAUCUCAUACUAGUUCUCUUACUUGUUUACUUAGAAUACUUGUGUGCAUAACUUACUCAAUCCUUGCUGCAUCGUUGAACAUCAAUUGAUAGUAUAAUAUGUUCUUAAGUCUUACAACUUACAUGAGCUUGCCAUUUAUGCUUUAAACUGAACUUUCAUGAACAUGAUUCGUUUACAAGCCCGUUGAGCUACAUUGGAAUAAUAAGGAUACUCGGGUCUCUUCUGAUAAUAACAUGCCAAAGCCAUGUCCCUGACAUGGUCUUACAUGGGAUGUUCUCGUGAUGGUGCCCAUGCCAUGUCCCAGACAUGGUCUUAUAGGGGAUCUCUCAUCUCGGUGCCAACGCCAUGUCCCAGACAUGGUCUUACAUGGGACCUCUCGUCUCGGUGCCCAUGCCAUGUCCCAGACAUGGUCUUACAGGGGACCUCUCAUGAUCUUAAGGAUGCCAAUGCCAUGUCCCAGACAUGGUCUUACAUGGGAUCUCUUUACCCAAAUGUCAUGACAUUCGUAUCCAGUACCAUCCUUAUGUAUCAACGGGACUUUUAAAUUUUAAUUCUCUAUCAUUUCAUGCUCGGAUCAUCAUCAAAUAAAUUCAUAAAAUAAAUUCAUAAUUGCUGGAAAUUAACAGCAUUAAUAAUAAAUAUUGAAAUAUUGCAUUUAUUUACCGUAAACUUACCUCGGUACCAAUUAUAGCCAAAUUCACCAACUUAGUCUUCAACUUUAUUCUUCCCUUUGUCUAACCUCGAGUUUCGUACUUCUUGAUCUAAAAUAGUAAAUUUAACUUAUUUAAUAAUCACAUUCAUUAAAACAGCCCUCGACUCUAACUUUUUCAAAAUUACAAUUUUGCCCCUAAACUUUUACAUAAUUACAUUUUUGCCCCAAGGCUCGGAAAUUAAACUUCAUCUCUUAUUCUUAUGUUUUAUAACAUUCUGAACAUUUUUCCCUUCUAUGGCAACAUCAAAUUCCCACUCUAACAUGUACUUAUGAACAUUAGGUAUUUUUACCGAUUAUGUUGUUUUACUCGUUUUCACUUAAAAUCGCUUAGCAAAAGUUGUUUAACAUAAUUUCUAGCUUCAUAUUCUAUCAUAAAACAUCAAAAUAAACACUUUUCACCUAUGGGUAUUUUUCCAAAUAUAAACCCUAGGUUAAAUUAUUGCUAGAAUAAGCUAAAUUAAGCUACCGGGAUCUCAAAAACGUAAAGAACAUUAAAAACGGGGCUUGGGAUCACUUACUAUGGAGCUUGGAAGCUUGAAAACCCUAACUAUGGCUUCCCCCCUUGCUGAUUUCGUUCAUAUGAAGAAGAUGAUGAUUUUUGCCAUCUUUUUCCCUUUUAAUUCAUUUUAAUUACUAGAUUACCAAAUUGCCCCUAACUUAAAAAUUUUCUAUUUCACUUAUCUAAUGUCCAUUUUUGUCUACCAAGUUACCAAUGGUAUAAUUACCAUAUAAGGACCUCCAAUUUAAAGUUUCAUAACAAUUGGACACCUCUAACAUGUAGAACUCAACUUUUGCACUUUUUACAAUUUAGUCCUUUUGACUAAAUUGAGUGCCCAAACGUCGAAAUUUUCGAACGAAAUUUUCAAAAAAUCAUUUUGUGAAAUUGUAGACCAGAAAAAUAUAAGAAAAAUAAAAUUUUUCUCAUCGGAUUUGUGGUUCCGAAACCACUGUUCCGAUAACCUCAAAUUUGGGCCAUUACAAAAGCUCAUUUUGGUGAAUGCCGAUUUAAGAGUGGGGCUUGUUACCGAUGUGGUUCUUUUGACCAUUUCCUCAGAGAUUGUCCAGAAAGGGUUGAAAAAGAAGUUGAACAUAUAUCGAAGCCGAUUAAUCUAGUUUCGAGAAGCAGACCACCUCGACCAUCCGGUAAUGUCAGUGGUAGUCGAGGAGCUAUAAAAGAUACUAUAGGUAGGCCUGAGGUACGAGCACCUGCUAGGACAUAUGCCAUUCGUGCCAGAGAAGAUGCUUCAGCACCCGAUGUUAUUACUGGUACAUUUUCUUUACUUGAUACUGAUAUUACUGCAUUGAUUGAUCCUGGUUCUACGCAUUCAUAUAUAUGUGUUAAACUUGCAAUUGUUAAAAAUUUAUCUGUUGAACCUACUGAAUUUGUGGUUAAAGUCUCGAACCCCCUUGGCCAGUCUGUGUUAGUGGAUAAAAUUUGUAAAAAUUGUCCAUUGAUGGUAAGAGGUUAUUGUUUCCCGGCUGAUUUGAUGUUACUGUCAUUUGAUGAAUUUGACGUGAUAUUGGGUAUGGAUUGGUUAACCCAGCAUGAUGCGGUAGUAAAUUGUAAACAAAAAUAUAUUGUGUUAAAAUGUCAGAAUGGUGAGUUGCUCCGGGUUAAAUCUGAUCAGACAGAGGGGUUAUCUGAUAUGAUUUCAGUAAUGGCAGCACAGUGGUAUGUCAAAAAGGGGUAUGAUGCUUACUUGGCUUAUGUACUUGACACCAAGGCAUCUGAGUCAAAGAUACAGACAGUUCCAGUGGUAUGUGAAUUUUCUGAUGUGUUUCCAGAAGAAUUACCAGGAUUGCCACCAGAAAGAGAAGUGGAAUUUUCUAUAGAUUUGAUUCCGGGAACUACUCCGAUCUCCAUAGCUCCAUACAGGAUGGCUCCUAUAGAAUUAAAAGAGUUAAAGACACAAUUGCAAGAGCUUGUUGACAGGGGUUUUGUUCGACCGAGUCAUUCACCUUGGGGUGCUCCGGUUCUGUUUGUGAAAAAGAAAGAUGGGUCUUUGAGAUUGUGUAUCGACUACCGGCAGCUUAAUAAAGUAACCAUAAAGAAUAAGUACCCGUUACCCCGGAUUGAUGAUUUAUUUGAUCAGCUGAAAGGUGCUACUAUGUUUUCAAAGAUUGAUCUUCGAUCAGGUUAUUAUCAGUUACGGGUAAAGGAGUCAGAUGUGCCAAAAACAGCCUUUAGAACCAGGUACGGGCAUUAUGAGUUUCUAGUUAUGCCGUUUGGGCUAACUAAUGCACCUGCAGUAUUCAUGGAUUUGAUGAACCGGAUAUUUAGACCGUACUUAGACAGAUUUGUAGUAGUAUUCAUUGAUGAUAUUUUGGUUUAUUCUCGAGAUGAAGAAGAACAUGCAGAACAUUUGAGAAUUGUGUUGCAAAUUCUACGAGAGAAGCAGUUGUAUGCUAAAUUCAGUAAAUGUGAAUUUUGGCUUCGAGAAGUGAGUUUUCUUAGACACAUUGUAUCUGCCGAAUGCAUCAGGGUAGAUCCAAGUAAAAUCUCAGCUAUUGUCAAUUGGAGUCCACCGAAGAAUGUAUCUGAAGUUAGAAGUUUCUUGGGUUUAGCUGGUUAUUAUCGGAGAUUUGUACAGGGAUUCUCUAUGAUAGCUUCUCCAAUGACUCGAUUAUUGCAGAAAGAUGUAAAGUUCGAGUGGACUGAUGAAUGUCAACAAAGUUUCAACCGAUUGAAAGACCUAUUAACGAAAGCACCUGUAUUAGUGCAGCCUGAACCGGGUAAGGAAUUUGUUAUUUACAGUGAUGCCUCAUUAAAUGGUUUAGGUUGUGUUUUGAUGCAAGAAGGUAAAGUAAUAGCCUAUGCUUCAAGACAACUUAAACCACAUGAAAGAAAUUACCCAGUACAUGAUCUUGAAUUAGCUGCUAUUGUAUUUGCGCUGAAGAUAUGGCGGCAUUACUUGUACGGUGAGAAAUGUCAUAUUUAUACUGAUCAUAAAAGCUUGAAAUAUUUGAUGACACAGAAAGAUUUGAAUUUGAGACAGUGCAGGUGGCUUGAACUGAUAAAGGACUAUGAUUUGAUUAUUGAUUACCAUCCGGGUAAGGCAAAUGUUGUAGCUGAUGCUUUGAGCUGAAAAUCUCUGUUUGCUUUACGAGCUAUGAAUACCCGGUUAUCAUUGACUGAUGAUGGUUCAAUCCUAACUGAAUUGAGAGCUAAACCAACAUUUUUACAGCAAAUAUGUGAAGCUCAGAAGAAUGAUGAGAAGUUACAGGUUAAACGGGCACAGUGUGAGUCAGGUAAUGAUUCUGAAUUUCAGAUUGGUUCUGAUGAUUGUUUAUUAUUCAGAGGUAGGGUAUGUGUACCUCAGAAUUCAGAGCUCAUACAGAAGAUUCUACGCGAGGCCCACAGUAGUACUAUGUCUGUACAUCCGGGGAGUAAUAAAAUGUAUAAUGAUCUGAAAAAGAUGUACUGGUGGUCGGGAAUGAAACGUGAUAUUUCUGAGUUUGUAUCAAGGUGUUUAAUAUGUCAACAAGUUAAAGCUGAACAUCAGGUACCUUUAGGGUUACUUCAUCCAAUUACUAUACCGGAAUGGAAAUGGGAAAGAAUCACUAUGGAUUUUGUAUCGGGGCUACCUUUGUCUCCGAGGAAAAAAGAUGCUAUUUGGGUGAUUGUAGACCGAUUGACAAAGUCAGCUCACUUUAUUCCGGUACGUAUGGAUUAUUCUUUAGAUAAACUAGCUGAACUGUACAUAUUUGAGAUUGUCAGGUUACAUGGAGUGCCUGUCUCCAUUAUAUCAGAUAGAGAUCCCCGAUUUACGUCUCGUUUCUGGGACAAAUUGCAAGAAGCCUUGGGUAUUCAAUUGUAUUUCAGCACUGCAUUUCAUCCUCAGACAGAUGGUCAAUCUGAGCAUGUAAUUCAAGUAUUGGAAGAUAUGCUCCGAUGUUGUAUACUAGAGUUUGAAGGUAAUUGGGAGAGGUAUCUACCUUUGAUUGAAUUUGCUUACAAUAACAGUUAUCAGUCUAGUAUUAAAAUGGCUCCGUAUGAAGCUUUGUAUGGUAGAAAAUGUAAAACACCGUUAUAUUGGACAGAGCUCAGUGGAAGGAAGAUACAUGGGGUUGAUUUGAUCCGGGAAACAGAAGAAAAAGUAAAGGUUAUUCGAGAUAGUCUAAAAGCAGCUUCCGAUCGUCAAAAAUCAUAUGCCGACCUUAAGCGAAAAGAGAUUAAAUUUCAAGUCGGUGACAAGGUAUUUCUGAAAGUGUCUCCUUGGAAGAAAGUUCUUCGAUUCGGUCGAAAGGGUAAAUUGAGUCCAAGAUUUAUCGGGCCCUAUGAAAUCAUAGAAAGAAUUAGACCGGUCGCUUAUCGAUUGGCAUUACCACCGAAACUUGAUAGAAUCCAUAAUGUUUUUCAUGUAUCUAUGUUACGACGAUAUCGAUCAGAUCCUUCACAUGUUAUUUCUCCAACAGAAGUAGAGAUUCAACCGGAUAUGACUUACAGUGAAGAACUGGUCAAGAUAUUGGCACGGGAGACAAAAGAGCUUAGAAAUAAAAAGAUAAAUUUGGUGAAAGUAUUGUGGCAAAAGCACGGGAUUGAGGAAGCAACAUGGGAACCGGAGGAGGCAAUGAGGAAACAAUACCCAAACCUCUUUACUGGUAAGAUUUUCGAGGACGAAAAUCCUUAAAAGGGGGGGAGAGUUGUAAUGGCGUAAAUUCAAUGUUAUCGGAACAGUGGUUUCGUAACCACAAAUCCGAUUUAAAGAGAAAUUUAUUUCAAUAUUUUUGCUUGAAAAUUUAUAUGAUAGGAAAAUCGUAUGAAAAUAUUGAUAAGAAAAUUUUUAUCAAUUUAGUGAUUAGUUAGAAAAAGAAAUUAUUUAAGAAAUUGGGUAAAAUAAGGUAUUGGGACCUCUAUCUCGUAAAACCGAGUCAAAAAUAAUUUUAUAAAUAUUUAUGAAAUGUUAUUAAUGUGGUAUUAAAAUUUCGUUAGGAAAUUUUAAUGUUUGGGUAGUCAAUUAAAUGAAAAGGACUGAAUUGUAAUAGGUGUAAAAGUUGCUAGAGUGAUUAAAUAGCUUAUUAGUCUAAUGAGAAAGGAUAUAAAAGGCAAUUAGACCCAAAAUUUAUUUGGGCUGGACGGCAAGGGUAUGAAAUCAGCAGAAAAAUUGAUAAAUUAAGGGUAAAAUUGGAAUAUUGCAAAAUUAACUAAAUAAAACUAGGACUAAAUAGGAAAUAUCUAGAUUUCUCUUCAUUUCUCUUCAAUUCCAGCAGCUAAAAACGCCAUAGGAGGGUUCUCUAAGCUGGUAUUUCAUAAUUUUUGCACCAAGUGAGUUAAUACUUGCCUUUUUCUUGUAAUUUUUGUGUUUCUAAGACUUUUACAACUAGAUCCUACUAUUAAAUUCAUUAGUUUUUGAUUUCAUGGAUGAAAUUUAAAGUCACCAUGGUUGAGUGCUGUAAGUUUAUGAUGAAAUAGAAUGAAAUUAAAGCUUUAAUUUGUUUAUGAGAUGAUUUUAUUAGGCAAUUUCAAUGGAAAUUGAUUUUUGGGACCUAAUUGUGAAAAUGUUUGGAAUUAAAGUCUAUUGCUGAAAUUCUGAUUCCUAAAGGUUGUAAACUAGUUUAAGGUGAUAGAAUAAAAUGUUAAUUGAGAAAAAUCAGCUCAAUUGAGAGACUAGUUGAGUAGGGACGAAAUUAUCAUUUAUUAAAAGCUUAGGGGAAAAAUGGUAAUAAACAGCUUGCACUAAAACAGUUUGGACAGCAGCAGUAGACUAAAUUUGAAAAAUCACCAAAAAUUGUAGGAAUCGAAUUAGGAGAUGAAAAAAAUAUGGAAUUAAAGCUUAUUGAGUCUAGUUUCUCAUAGAAGAAAUAUUGUAAGCAAUGGGUUUGUAAAUUUUGAGAUAUAAUGAAUUUUGUGAGAUAAGGUCAGAAUGAAUUCGGGUUCCCCUGUUCUGACUUUGAAAAAUUAUAAAAAAUUGAAUAAAAAUAAUUAGGGACUUAAAUUUAUAUGUCUAGAAUUCUGAAUGAGUAUAUUUUUAAUAGAAACAAACAAGAACAUCAUUUGAAUUCUGUAUAAAGAGAUAAUUUAUUUUUAGUGAAGAAGGGUCAGAACUAUUAGACAACAGAACAGGGGUGACUUUGAAGAAUAAACUGUACUGAUUGGCUAAACCAAAAAUUAUGAAAAUUUUAUGGUAAAAAUAUAUAUGAGUCUAGUUUCAGGGAAAAUUAGCGGAUCUUAAUUUGGAGUUCCAUAGCUCAAGUUAUAAAUAAUUUAGUGACUAUGACUCAAGUAGACAGCUUUGAAUGAACUAUAAAUAAUAGUUGAAUUAUAGAGAAUGUUGCAUAUGAACAUGAAAUGUAUUAAAUUGAUAAUUAAAUUUAUUUAUUUAGAUCCAGAAGAUUCAAAUACGAAGCUAGAUCGAGGAAAGGAAAAAGUUCGGGAUUAAUAUAUUUUUACUGUUUACAAACAAGUAUCAAGGUAAGUUCAUGUAACUUGAAUUAUAUUCUUAAAUGCUUGAAAUGCAUGUUUUUUAUAUGAAUAUGAUUUGAAUGUUCAUUGUAUGAAAAUUUAUGAAACAUUGAUAUAUUUGAUAAAAUGGGAAGAAAUCCCGUUUGAAUGAAAGGAAAAUUUGAUGGAUCUCUGAAAAGGAAUUGACGGUAAAAAGGAUCUAGCCCGGACGGGUGAUCCUAUCCUGAUAUAGCCCUCCCGAAGAAUAUGUGUAAAAUUGAUUUAGCCCGGACGGGUAAUCUGAAUUAGGGUCUGAAUUUAGCCUGGACUGGUAAUUCAGAUCCAAGCUCAUUAGAGUAAUUGUCGUUGCAGGGGAUUUAGCCUGGACUGGUAAUGUAACACCCCUUAACCCCGAACCGUCGCCGGAACAGAAUUACGAGGCAUUACCAGACGUAUCGAACGAUUUACAACAAUUCUUAAAUAAAUAACCAAUAUAUUAAAAUAAUUCAUAAAAUUUAUUAGUUUGUUUACCAAAUGACUUCAUUUUUUUUUUAUAAAAAUUUCGGCAGCAUUUCUGCUUAUUUUUACAUAAAACCCCCUGCAAAUUAAAAUCAUAUAGUUCCCAAAUAUCACCAAUUCAACCAAUUCAUUUCACAUUCACAUUUUCUAUUCUAAAUACUUCUAAUCAAACUCAAUCUACACAAUAUCAAUUUGAAAUUUAACAAUGUACUAAUUAGAUAAAAUAGAUAGACUUCUUUCAUUAAAAUCCAUAAACUUUUAAUACUAACAUUUUUAACCAUUAUAUAAUAAAACAUAAUAACCUUUAUACACAAUCUAUGUACAUGCCACCUUUACCAAAGGAAAAAUACAUCACCAAGUUUUGCCGAAGCCGAGAUUAAUCUGGAUGCUGAACCGGGACCUUUGACUUCUAUCGACCUGCGCACGGAAACAACCGUACGCUGAGUAAUUCAUACUCAGUGGUAUUACCAUAAUUCAAAUUAUAACAAUAAUGUACAUGUAAUGCAUAAAUCGUAUAUACAAUUUAAAUUAAAUAUUUCAACAAUAGCAAUUCAUCAACCAAUAUCGUAUAUCCACAAUUUGAGUUUGAAUAAUUCACGAACCUUAGGUUCAUUUCUCAAUCUCAUUUCACAUUUCAAUUCACAAUUCAACUUUUUCAUAUCAUUUCAAUAGCUCGUUUGACCAACUCGUUCGGUUUAUCAUUUCAUCAUUUACCCUAUUAACAAAACUAGGACUUUGGCGGAUACACGGAUCCAACCAAACACACCAGAAUGGCACCCAGUGCCUCAUCGGAUAGUUCGAAGCAAUAGUUGACACCCAGUGUCUCAUCGGCAAAGCCGAAGAAAGUUGGUACCCAGUACCUCAUCGAAUCUAUCCGAAGAAAUAUAGUGACACCCAGUGUCUCAUCGACUCGAGGUCGAAGUAUCCCUGAACUCUUCCAAUCCUAUGGCAUGCCAACUAUAUCCGACUCAGCCCGACUAGUUAAUAGGGUAUUUAAAUCACAUAUAUUCUCAAUUCAAUUACAAUUUUUCACAUUUUCAAUUCAAUCAUUUUUCCACCUUUCAAUCAAUAAUUAUUUCACAACUUCACACAUUUUCACAACUCAAUACAUUUCCAUACAAUUUAAUACCAUUCACAAUUCGAUUCAAAUUCAUUUCCCGCUUUCAAUCAACAAACAAUUCAAAUAUUAUUUCAUAUCAACUAUUCAAUUUAAUUCCCACUCAUAAUAAUAAUAAUACUAAUAAUAAUACUAAUACUAAUAUUAAUACUUACCUCACAUUUCAUUUACUAGACACAUAAAUUAAAAUUUAACAUUUAAAAAUAAAUAAUUUGAAUUAUAGUAAUACAAACCGUUAUUCUCCCGUUUUAGUCCUCGAUAACUUUCUCCUUUUCUUUUGACGCCGAUGCCUCGGGUUCUUUGUUAGCUACGAAAAUAAUAAUAAUUUGUAAUAUUAAUUACAGCACUAAUUAUAAUUAUAAUAAAUAAUUGAAUUUCUAUUCAAAUUUCAUCCAAACUAAAAUUUAACUAUCAAAAUUUCAGCAUAUUUUGCUAAUUUCGAAUUUCCCUCAAUUUAGUCCCUAAAACAUAAAACUUAUAGUUUCUUUUACAAUUUAAUCCCUUUUUCAAUUCUAACUUAAAAUUCCUUCAAGUUAAUCCCUAAUUCAUCUCUUUUGUUCAACAUAAACUAUACUUGAAAACCUAUGAACUUACAAAAUAUCAACUUAAUUCCAUCAAAACUUUGUUUUAAAGCUUUUAGAACAUUAGAAUUAAGAGAAAAGGGCUAAUUUGACUUACCAAUUUAAAUUUCAAGCUUCAAAAACCCUAUUUUCCCUUUUUUCUUCUUUUUCUUCUUUCUCCCCUGUUUCUCCCCUGUUUCGUCUCUUCUAUUCUGUUUCUUUCCUUUCUUUUGCUUUGUUUUUAUUUCUUUUUAUUUCAUUUACUUUAUAUUAUAUUAAUUAAUUAUAAGUAUUACAAAUGUAUGUAUUUUAUUAGUACUCUUGCAUUAAUUCAUCACCAUACACUUGUCUCAAUCUAACUAGUUUAUCAAUAAAAAUCUCAUAAUAUUAUUAUUUAAUUAACAAUUAUCUUUUACUUAAUUUUCAAGUAAAUAAAUAAAUGUAAUACACUUGUAUUUUAUUUUUACCACACACUUGGCAAAAUCAUAAUUUAUUAUUACCCAAAAAUCUUAUACUAAUUAUUUAAUUAUUAAAUAUCUUUUAAUUUAAUAAUAACUAAUAACUAAUAAUAAAUAAUAAAUAUCUUAUACUAAUUAAUAAGCAAAUUAAAUCUAUAAACUACAAAUAUAUACAUACUUUAAUUACACAUGUAUUACUUUAUCAUGUCUUUAUUUUAAUUUAUUUAAUAAUAAUAGUAAUAAUAUAUUUAAUAUUUUAUAAUUAAUUGUCAUAAAAAUCUAAGAUUUUUAUGCACAUUUGCCGCCCCAUGUAAUAAAAUAGGCUUAAUUACCUAUUUGGUCCCAUAUGAUUUCUUUUAAUCUAUAAUUAUGCUUUCACUCUUUAUUCAAUUUAAUCCUUUUUACUAAUUACUCAUAAUUAAACUAAAUUCACCUAUCUAAAACUUAAUUAAACACACAACUAGUCUCGUAAAUAUUUCUAAUAAUUAUUUUCGGACUCAAUUUACUAGGACGGAGGCCCGAUAUUAUACUUUUCCGAUGCCCAUGAAUUUUGGGUCAUUACAUAUCCCGACAAUACUCUAUGAGUUUAUAUUGCAAGGGAUUUAGCCUGGACUGGUAAUCCCGCUGUAAGGUUGAGGUUCGCGGGAGUGUGCUCUCUGAAAUGGAAAUGUGCGCACAUGAAUAUGAAUUGACGGACCCAGAAUUGUACACUAAAAGUGUACCUCUGAAAAUCCAUCAAAAAUUCCAAGAAAUUCAACGGGAUAAAUAUGGAAAAAUAACAAGGAAAUGGAAAUCAUAGUAUAUAUUAUUGGUACAUGGAAAUUAUUGUACUAACUUGAAUGUUGAGUUUGUGCAUGUUAGGGUAAUAAUGCAUUGAAUGGAUAUAUGAAUGUUUAUUAUAUUGUAUUGAAAAUAUUAGGUAAGUAUAAUUCUUGUUACAUGAGCUUACUAAGCACAAAGUGCUUACCCCGUUUCCUUUUUCCCUGUUUUGUAGUGUUAAGAGCUCGGAGGUCGGAUUGGGUCGGAGACACAUCACACUGUCAACCUCAGGAUUUCGGUAUAUAAAGAAACUUUAUUUUGGAAAUCAAUGGCAUGUAUAAGCUAACAAAGUAAAUGCUAACAUGAAAUGAAUGUAAAGUUAGCCAUUAGUAUGGUUAACAAACCUGGUUAUAGAUAUGUGAUGACGUUAUCUUAUAUAAAUGCAUGAAUCUAUAAUGAAAAUAUGUUGAAUUGAAAAAAAAAUUAAUUCGUAAACUCCUGUAAUGCCUCGUACCCUAUUCCGGCAAUGAAUACGGGUAGGGGUAUUACAGCAGUUCAUUUCUACUACUUCACCAAAAAAACAACGAGCUCGUGAAAUUGAAUAUUUUAAGUGCAAAGGGCGUGGGCACUAUAGCCGUGAUUGUGCCAACACAAGACUUUUGUUGAUCAAAGAAGAUGGUGAUUAUACUUCUGAUUCCGAUAAAACAGACCCAGAUAUGCCCGAAUUAAUUGAUGAUGUCAACGAUUGCGGUAAAUUUUAUGGUGAAGAAGAGUUGGUGGAACCACUAACUCAUCCCCGAUGUUUAGUUGUGAGGCGCACACUCAACAUCCAAUUGAAGGAUGAUCAUGAUCUUCAACGGAUUAAUAUAUUCCAUUCGAGGUGUUUGAUUAAAGGUACAUUUUGCUCAUUUAUCAUUGAUAGUGGAAGUUGUGCUAACGUUGUGAGCAGCUACCUUGUGGAUUCUCUUGCUUUGCCAUGUAGCAAACACCCUACACCAUACCAUCUUCAAUGGCUUAAUGAAGGUUCGGAGGUCCGUGUGGUAAAACAGUGCUUGAUCACUUUUACACUUGGGACUUACAUUGAUGAUGUUUGGUGUGAUGUCGUUCCCAUGCAUGCCGUCCACUUGUUACUUGGUAGACCAUGGCAGUACGAUCGUGAUGUUAUUCAUCAUGGUAAAUUAAAUUGAUAUUAUUUUAUUUUCAGUGGGAAAAAGUACACUUUCACCCCUUUGAAUCCGAAAGAUAUUCACAAUGAUCAAAUCGACAUGAUGAAGUUUUGUAAGGAGGUUAUGGGAAGUAAGACACAAAAUUCAAAAAAGGCUGAGAGAAAAGAGGUCUCUAGUGAAAAGAGCCAAAUUAAUAAUGACCCAAUGGUGAGUGCAUCCUCUUGUGAGAAAAAAAAAGUGGUUCAUAAUUUUUAUGUGAGUGGAAAAGAUGUGCGACGAGCCUUACUCACUAAACAACCUUGCAUCAUUAUUCGAUUUAGGCAAAACUGUUUAUCUUUGACUAACCUUCAUAACUCUUUGCCUAGUGUUUUUAUGUCUCUUUUGCAGGAAUAUGAAGAUAUUUUUGAAGCAGCACCUAAAGGAUUGCCACCUUUGAGGGGUAUUGAGCAUCAAAUUGACUUAAUACCUGGGUCAACAAUUCCAAAUCGACCAGCUUAUAGAAGCAAUCCCGAUGAGACGAAGGAGUUACAAAAGCAAGUAGAUGAACUUUUGGCGAAGGGUCACAUUCGUGAAAGUUUAAGUCCUUGUGUAGUGCCGGUAAUUCUGGUGCCAAAGAAAGAUGGUACGUAUAGAAUGUGCGUCGAUUGUCGACCAAUUAACCAAAUCACUAUUAAGUAUAGACAUCCUAUUCCAAGGCUUGAUGAUAUGUUUGAUGAACUUUAUGGUGCUUGUAUCUUUACAAAAAUUGAUUUAAAAAGUGGCUACCAUCAAAUUCGAAUGAAAGAGGGGGAUGAAUGGAAAACAGCAUUUAAAACUAAGUUUGGUUUAUAUGAAUGGUUAGUCAUUCCUUUCGGUUUGACUAAUGCACCUAGUACUUUCAUGCGCUUGAUGAACCAUGUUUUGAGACCUUAUUUGGGUAAAUUUGUGGUAGUAUAUUUUGAUGAUAUUCUGAUUUACUCAACUUCUUUAGAUGACCAUGUUUUUCAUGUUAAAUCAGUUUUGGAUAUUCUGCGAACUGAAAAAUUAUUUGCCAACCUUGAUAAAUGCACUUUUUGUUGUGAUAAACUAAUCUUUUUAGGUUUUAUAGUAAGUGCUCAAGGUAUUCAUGUCGAUGAGGACAAAGUAAAGGCAAUUAGAGAAUGGCCCACUCCUAAAUCAAUUACCGAGGUGAGAUCUUUCCAUGGUUUAGCAAGUUUUUAUAGACGUUUUGUGAAGGAUUUCUCCACUAUUGCUGCUCCAUUAACUGAGAUUAUUAAAAAAUCUGUGGGUUUUAAAUGGGAAGAAGUUCAGGAAAAGGCUUUUCAAACUUUAAAGGAUAAGUUAUGUUCUGCUCCGGUUCUUAAAUUACCUGAUUUUUCUAAUACUUUUGAACUUGAAUGUGAUGCUUCAGGUAUUGGAAUUGGUGCCGUGUUGAUGCAAGAAAAAAGGCCAAUUGCAUAUUUUAGUGAAAAACUGACAGGGGCACAAUUAAACUACUCAACUUAUGAUAAGGAGUUGUUGGCAUUAGUCCGAGCUCUACAAGUUUGGCAACAUUACUUGUUGCCAAAUGAGUUCGUUAUCCAUACAGAUCAUGAAUCCCUAAAAUGGUUAAAGGGACAAUGUAAGUUAAGUAAGAGACACGCUCGAUGGGUGGAAUUCAUAGAGACAUUUCCAUAUACAAUUAAGUAUAAAACAGGUAGAGAAAAUGUAGUUGCUGAUGCCUUAUCUCGUAGAUAUUCUUUGAUAACUACAUUAAAUGCUAAAGUCUUAGGGUUUGAACAUAUAAAAGAUUUAUACUUAAAUGAUAUUGAUUUUGCAAAUGUUUUUUCUAAUUGUGGGAAUGGUGCCUUUAACAAGUUUUAUAUUGUAGAUGGGUUUCUUUUUCGCCUAAACAGGUUAUGUGUUCCACAAUGUUCAAUGAGAGAGUUAUUAAUUCGUGAAGCACAUAGUGGAGGCCUCAUGGGACACUUUGGUGUCGCCAAAACACUAGAUAUUCUACAUGAACAUUUUUAUUGGCCGCACAUGAAAAAGGACGUUGAAAAGGUCUGUUCUAAUUGUAUUACUUGUAAACAAGCAAAAUCUAAGGUAAUGCCUCAUGGACUUUAUACUCCUUUACCGAUCCCUUCUUCGCCAUGGGUAGACUUAUCUAUGGAUUUCAUUCUUGGUUUACCACGAACAAAAAAGGGUCGAGAUAGUAUCUUUGUUGUUGUUGAUAGGUUUUCAAAGAUGGCUCACUUUAUUCCUUGUCACAAAACGGACGAUGCUACACAUGUGGCUGACUUGUUCUUUCGAGAGGUGGUGCGCCUACAUGGGAUACCUCGCACCAUUGUAUCGGACAGAGACGUAAAGUUCCUAAGCCACUUUUGGAAAGUAUUGUGGGGUAAGCUUGGUACUAAAUUAUUAUAUUCUACUACAUGUCACCCCCAAACAGAUGGACAAACUGAGGUAGUCAAUCGAGUCUUAGGUGCUUUACUACGAACUGUUGUGGGUAAGAACCUUAAAACUUGGGAAGAAUAUUUGCCAUUUGUUGAGUUUGCAUAUAACCGAUCUAUUCACUCUACAACUGCAUAUUCCCCAUUUGAACUUGUUUAUGGUUUUAAUCCACUAACUGUACUUGAUCUUGCACCAUUGCCUAUAGAAAACAUUUCUAGUUUAGACGGUGAGAAGAAAGCUGAAUAGGUGAAAUCCAUGCAUGCGAAAGCAAGACAACGAAUCGCCAAAACAAAUGAAACAACUGCCAACAAAGCUAACAAGUGGCGCAAGCAAAUUAUCUUUGAGCCCGGUGACUGGGUUUGGGUCCACAUGAGAAAAGAGCGAUUUCCAACUAAACGCAAAACAAAAUUGGACCCACGUGGCGAUGGACCUUUUCAAGUACUCAAGCGCAUUAAUGACAAUGCAUAUCAAAUCGACCUUCCCGGUGAGUAUAAUGUUAGUGCCACUUUUAAUGUCGCUGACCUUUCUCCUUUUGAUAUUGCAGAUUCGAGGGCGAAUCCUUUUGUGGAAGAGGGGAAUGAUACGAGUAACUCAGCCCAAUUCAAAGGCCAUAAUAGAGAUGAGUUAGUUUUCCUCAAGGCCCAAUUACGAGAUCCAAAUCCAAACAAAUAAAGUCAAAACUCAACUUAGUGGUUCAAGACUUUAUCACGAAAAAAAUUCAAGAAUAAGAGUUAAAGUUUCAAGACAAUAAAUUCUGGAGUAAUGAUGAAUUAGAAAAGACUAAUUAUGUUUGUGGGCCUAAACUCUCAAUCUAUGACGACAAGCCCAUGUGGAAAAUGCUAACAAGCUUAAACAUUUCACUUCAAGAACCCCAAUUGAUCUUACAAGCUUAGACAUUUCAUAUUGGGUUUAAGUUUUAGGCUUAAUUUUUAUUAUAUAUAAGCACAAUAUUUUGUUUAUUAGCUCUUAUUAUUUUAUUAUUAUUUUAUUCUGAAUUUUUUAUAAUUAUUAAGUAUUUUAAGUUAUUUAGGAAUUUUAUGUUAACAAGAAAGUUUAGUUUAAAACUACUUCUUGUUUAGAUUAAAUUAGAGUUCUAGUAUACUUAGGAGUUUUAUUUAGAUUUAUUUAUCUAGCCUAUAUAUAGGCCUUUGCAUUGUACACAGGGAGACAAUUGAUUAUUAUUCUAUUUCUCUUUUGAGUUAAUAAAUUCUCUUUGAGUUUUUUCUUUUCAAGAAUUUCUCUUGAGUUUCUUUUAGAAGAGUUUUAACAAUCUUUUUAGAUUGUGGGGAUCAUCUUCAAACUUUUUCUUGCCAAGGUUUGUAUCUUGGAGGGGAAAUUAGAGCCGCUUGAAGGGGGUUGUGGAUUCUUCGUGUUUCUAAGGCUUCUUAGGACUUCUACACGCCACGUUCUAUCUUUCCAUUUAUCUUCUUUAUUCACUUCCUGAAUCCUUGAUUUAUUAUUUGUUUUAAUUAUUUUAUCUAAUUUGGAUUUAAUUUCAUUUCAGGUUGUGUCAAGAAAAAUCCAAGUUUCUUUCCGAACGUCUAGAGCCCUAAGUCAAAUCCGCGACUUUGACAAACUUUACGAUCCGCUUUCGCGUUCAUCCUUCUCAACCUUUAUCAUUUGGUAUCAGAUUUGGGCGUUUUAGGUGUUCUUUUUUAAAUUGAUUUCUCGAAAACAGCUUCAAAACAAAUUUUACCCCUAUAGUUUUCAAAAAAAAUAUUUCUCAGUGGGUAAACGAUUUUCAAAUGAUCUAAAAUUUUGCAUACUAUUUCUUGGCACUAUUUUAAAGUAUAAAAAAAUAUUUCCCACAAAAAAAAGUGAUAAAAAAGUACAAAAAAAUACGAAAAAAAAAUAAAAAAAUUUUCGUGGGUUGAAUUUUGUGCCGAAACUUUCCAGAUCAAAUCUACAUUAUUUGAGGAGGCUUCAGUUUAAAUUUUGUGAUUUUUGGAAAUCGGGAACACCUUGAACGAAGUUUGUCUAGUUGCUUCGCAGUUUUUCGGGUUUUCGGGUUUCAACAAUUUUCAUUGACUCUUAGCUUUAAGUAUUCAUUUGUUUUCCUUUUUAUUUGUUCCUUACGCAUUCUAACACUUUCUUGUUUCUUGUGUUAGUAGGUUAAAGCACGUUGCAUAUUCCUUCAUCCGUGCAACAAAAUUCUUUGAUGUCUAAGCAAAUUUUGGACUCAUAGUGCUAUUAGGUUUGCUUUGAUGUUUGAUUCUAAAACAUCUUGAUUGAUUGAUAUAGACACUUUUAAAAGACUCACAAGAUUAAUUCUUACCUCAUUGAGAUUUUUUUUUUGAGUGCAUAUAGGUGAGGUUUGCUUAAUUUUUUCUUUUGAAGUGUUGUGCUUUUCCAGGCUUUCACUAUGACUCGUGACACUCGUGCCCGUAAAAACCAUGAUGAGAUACCAUCUGAUGACAAAGAAUAAGAUGUUACAUUGGAGAAUAUUGUGGGGAUGGUAAAAUUGCAACAUCAACAAUUGAACGAGGUACGUGAUACAUUUGAGGCCAAUUUGACUACGUGUCAACAGAACUACAAGAGAACAUUAAUCAGCUUUCCAAUCAUAUUCAAUUGCUCACUCAAGCUGUUGCUCGUUUGGAGACUUCUUCAAAUCGACGAUCUCGUGCUCGUGAUAGUGAUCAUGAUAGGGAUAAUGAACAACUUCGUAUUCGUUCUAAUCCUAGUAGACACGAAUAUCGUCACAUUGAUGAAACUUUGGGUAUUUCUAAUCAAGGCCAUCCUUCUGUCGCUAAACCAAAGUUCAACAUUCCACCAUUCCAAGGAAAGUAUGAUCCAGAUGCAUAUUGCGAUUGGGAGGAUAAAAUGGAGAUCAUGUUCUGUUGUUAUAAGUGUCCGGAGGAGGAGAAAGUUCCAUUAGCUAUAUUGGCAUUUUCUGAUUAUGCAUUGAGUUGGUGGACUCAACUUGUGUUGAACCGCCAAAGGAAUUAUGAACGAGAUGUUGAUUCAUGGGAACAGUUGACACAAAUCAUGCGAAAACAUUUUAUCCCACCUCAUUAUUAUAGGGAUAUUAAACGAAGACUUCAACGCCUUGUUCAAGGUAAUCGAUCUGUUGAUGAGUACUUUAAAGAGAUGGAGAUGCUUAUGCAUAGAACAAAUAUCCAAGAAGAUGAGGAGACUACCAUGGUGCGGUUUGUAGAUGGUUUGAAUGUUUUGAUAGCCAAUGUUCUUGAUCUUCAAACCUACAUUGAUCUUGAAGAUACGGUACGUAAGGCAAUUGAGAUUGAGCGACAGUUUCAACAACGUCAAUCUCGUUCAUUUAGUACUUCACAAUAUUAUAGAGGUACGAGUUCUAAUUCUACUUUCAAGAAUUCGAAAUUUCCUUUUGCUACUAAUAAGUUGCUGCCAAAACAUGAUGAGACUAAAUCUUUUGAGGGGAAAAGUGGGGCUUCUACAAAACCUUCUUCAUCAUCUUUUAAGCAGUUCACUUCUACUACUUCACCAAAAAAACAAUGAGCUCGUGAAAUUGAAUGUUUUAAGUGCAAAGGGCGUGGGCACUAUAGCCGUGAUUGUGCCAACACAAGACUUUUGUUGAUCAAAGAAGAUGGUGAUUAUACUUCUGAUUCCGAUAAAACAGACCCAGAUAUGCCCGAAUUAAUUGAUGAUGUCAAUGAUUGCGGUAAAUUUUAUGGUGAAGAAGAGUUGGUGGAACCACUAACUCAUCCCCGAUGUUUAGUUGUGAGGCGCACACUCAACAUCCAAUUGAAGGAUGAUCAUGAUCUUCAACGGAGUAAUAUAUUCCAUUCGAGGUGUUUGAUUAAAGGUACAUUUUGCUCAUUUAUCAUUGAUAGUGGAAGUUGUGCUAACGUUGUGAGCAGCUACCUUGUGGAUUCUCUUGCUUUGCCAUGUAGCAAACACCCUACACCAUACCAUCUUCAAUGGCUUAAUGAAGGUUCGGAGGUCCGUGUGGUAAAACAGUGCUUGAUCACUUUUAAACUUGGGGCUUACAUUGAUGAUGUUUGGUGUGAUGUCGUUCCCAUGCAUGCCGCCCACUUGUUACUUGGUAGACCAUGGCAGUACGAUCGUGAUGUUAUUCAUCAUGGUAAAUUAAAUCGAUAUUCUUUUAUUUUUAGUGGAAAAAAGUACACUUUCACCCCUUUGAAUCCGAAAGAUAUUCACAAUGAUCAAAUCGACAUGAUGAAGUUUUGUAAGGAGGUUAUGGGAAGUAAGACACAAAAUUCAAAAAAGGUUGAGAGAAAAGAGGUCUCUAGUGAAAAGAGCCAAAUUAAUAAUGACCCAAUGGUGAGUGCAUCCUCUUGUGAGAAAAAAAGAGUGGUUCAUAAUUUUUAUGCGAGUGGAAAAGAUGUGCGACGAGCCUUACUCACUAAACAACCUUGCAUCAUUAUUCGAUUUAGGCAAAACUGUUUAUCUUUGACUAACCUUCAUAACUCUUUGCCUAGUGUUUUUAUGUCUCUUUUGCAGGAAUAUGAAGAUAUUUUUGAAGUAGCACCUAAAGGAUUGCCACCUUUGAGGGGUAUUGAGCAUCAAAUUGACUUAAUACCUGGGUCAAUAAUUCCAAAUCGACCAGCUUAUAGAAGCAAUCCCGAUGAGACGAAGGAGUUACAAAAGCAAGUAGAUGAACUUUUGGCGAAGGGUCACAUUCGUGAAAGUUUAAGUCCUUGUGCAGUGCCGGUAAUUCUGGUGCCAAAGAAAGAUGGUACGUAUAGAAUGUGCGUCGAUUGUCGACCAAUUAACCAAAUCACUAUUAAGUAUAGACAUCCUAUUCCAAGGCUUGAUGAUAUGUUUGAUGAACUUUAUGGUGCUUGUAUCUUUACAAAAAUUGAUUUUAAAAGUGGCUACCAUCAAAUUCGAAUGAAAGAGGGGGAUGAAUGGAAAACAGCAUUUAAAACUAAGUUUGGUUUAUAUGAAUGGUUAGUCAUGCCUUUCGGUUUGACUAAUGCACCUAGUACUUUCAUGCGCUUGAUGAACCAUGUUUUGAGACCUUAUUUGGGUAAAUUUGUGGUAGUAUAUUUUGAUGAUAUUCUGAUUUACUCAACUUCUUUAGAUGACCAUGUUUUUCAUGUUAAAUCAGUUUUGGAUAUUCUGCGAACUGAAAAAUUAUUUGCCAACCUUGAUAAAUGCACUUUUUGUUGUGAUAAACUAAUCUUUUUAGGUUUUAUAGUAAGUGCUCAAGGUAUUCAUGUCGAUGAGGACAAAGUAAAGGCAAUUAGAGAAUGGCCCACUCCUAAAUCAAUUACCGAGGUGAGAUCUUUCCAUGGUUUAGCAAGUUUUUAUAGACGUUUUGUGAAGGAUUUCUCCACUAUUGCUGCUCCAUUAACUGAGAUUAUUAAAAAAUCUGUGGGUUUUAAAUGGGAAGAAGUUCAGGAAAAGGCUUUUCAAACUUUAAAGGAUAAGUUAUGUUCUGCUCCGGUUCUUAAAUUACCUGAUUUUUCUAAUACUUUUGAACUUGAAUGUGAUGCUUCAGGUAUUGGAAUUGGUGCCGUGUUGAUGCAAGAAAAAAGGCCAAUUGCAUAUUUUAGUGAAAAACUGACAGGGGCACAAUUAAACUACUCAACUUAUGAUAAGGAGUUGUUGGCAUUAGUCCGAGCUCUACAAGUUUGGCAACAUUACUUGUUGCCAAAUGAGUUCGUUAUCCAUACAGAUCAUGAAUCCCUAAAAUGGUUAAAGGGACAAUGUAAGUUAAGUAAGAGACACGCUCGAUGGGUGGAAUUCAUAGAGACAUUUCCAUAUACAAUUAAGUAUAAAACAGGUAGAGAAAAUGUAGUUGCUGAUGCCUUAUCUCGUAGAUAUUCUUUGAUAACUACAUUAAAUGCUAAAGUCUUAGGGUUUGAACAUAUAAAAGAUUUAUACUUAAAUGAUAUUGAUUUUGCAAAUGUUUUUUCUAAUUGUGGGAAUGGUGCCUUUAACAAGUUUUAUAUUGUAGAUGGGUUUCUUUUUCGCCUAAACAGGUUAUGUGUUCCACAAUGUUCAAUGAGAGAGUUAUUAAUUCGUGAAGCACAUAGUGGAGGCCUCAUGGGACACUUUGGUGUCGCCAAAACACUAGAUAUUCUACAUGAACAUUUUUAUUGGCCGCACAUGAAAAAGGACGUUGAAAAGGUCUGUUCUAAUUGUAUUACUUGUAAACAAGCAAAAUCUAAGGUAAUGCCUCAUGGACUUUAUACUCCUUUACCGAUCCCUUCUUCGCCAUGGGUAGACUUAUCUAUGGAUUUCAUUCUUGGUUUACCACGAACAAAAAAGGGUCGAGAUAGUAUCUUUGUUGUUGUUGAUAGGUUUUCAAAGAUGGCUCACUUUAUUCCUUGUCACAAAACGGACGAUGCUACACAUGUGGCUGACUUGUUCUUUCGAGAGGUGGUGCGCCUACAUGGGAUACCUCGCACCAUUGUAUCGGACAGAGACGUAAAGUUCCUAAGCCACUUUUGGAAAGUAUUGUGGGGUAAGCUUGGUACUAAAUUAUUAUAUUCUACUACAUGUCACCCCCAAACAGAUGGACAAACUGAGGUAGUCAAUCGAGUCUUAGGUGCUUUACUACGAACUGUUGUGGGUAAGAACCUUAAAACUUGGGAAGAAUAUUUGCCAUUUGUUGAGUUUGCAUAUAACCGAUCUAUUCACUCUACAACUGCAUAUUCCCCAUUUGAACUUGUUUAUGAUUUUAAUCCACUAACUGUACUUGAUCUUGCACCAUUGCCUAUAGAAAACAUUUCUAGUUUAGACGGUGAGAAGAAAGCUGAAUAGGUGAAAUCCAUGCAUGCGAAAGCAAGACAACGAAUCGCCAAAACAAAUGAAACAACUGCCAACAAAGCUAACAAGUGGCGCAAGCAAAUUAUCUUUGAGCCCGGUGACUGGGUUUGGGUCCACAUGAGAAAAGAGCAAUUUCCAACUAAACGCAAAACAAAAUUGGACCCACGUGGCGAUGGACCUUUUCAAGUACUCAAGCGCAUUAAUGACAAUGCAUAUCAAAUCGACCUUCCCGGUGAGUAUAAUGUUAGUGCCACUUUUAAUGUCGCUGACCUUUCUCCUUUUGAUAUUGCAGAUUCGAGGGCGAAUCCUUUUGUGGAAGAGGGGAAUGAUACGAGUAACUCAGCCCAAUUCAAAGGCCAUAAUAGAGAUGAGUUAGUUUUCCUCAAGGCCCAAUUACGAGAUCCAAAUCCAAACAAAUAAAGUCAAAACUCAACUUAGUGGUUCAAGACUUUAUCACGAAAAAAAUUCAAGAAUAAGAGUUAAAGUUUCAAGACAAUAAAUUCUGGAGUAAUGAUGAAUUAGAAAAGACUAAUUAUGUUUGUGGGCCUAAACUCUCAAUCUAUGACGACAAGCCCAUGUGGAAAAUGCUAACAAGCUUAAACAUUUCACUUCAAGAACCCCAAUUGAUCUUACAAGCUUAGACAUUUCAUAUUGGGUUUAAGUUUUAGGCUUAAUUUUUAUUAUAUAUAAGCACAAUAUUUUGUUUAUUAGCUCUUAUUAUUUUAUUAUUAUUUUAUUCCGAAUUUUUUAUAAUUAUUAAGUAUUUUAAGUUAUUUAGGAAUUUUAUGUUAACAAGAAAGUUUAGUUUAAAACUACUUCUUGUUUAGAUUAAAUUAGAGUUCUAGUAUACUUAGGAGUUUUAUUUAGAUUUAUUUAUCUAGCCUAUAUAUAGGCCUUUGCAUUGUACACAGGGAGACAAUUGAUUAUUAUUCUAUUUCUCUUUUGAGUUAAUAAAUUCUCUUUGAGUUUUUUCUUUUCAAGAAUUUCUCUUGAGUUUCUUUUAGAAGAGUUUUAACAAUCUUUUUAGAUUGUGGGGAUCAUCUUCAAACUUUUUCUUGCCAAGGUUUGUAUCUUGGAGGGGAAAUUAGAGCCGCUUGAAGGGGGUUGUGGAUUCUUCGUGUUUCUAAGGCUUCUUAGGACUUCUACACGCCACGUUCUAUCUUUCCAUUUAUCUUCUUUAUUCACUUCCUGAAUCCUUGAUUUAUUAUUUGUUUUAAUUAUUUUAUCUAAUUUGGAUUUAAUUUCAUUUCAGGUUGUGUCAAGAAAAAUCCAAGUUUCUUUCCGAACGUCUAGAGCCCUAAGUCAAAUCCGCGACUUUGACAAACUUUACGAUCCGCUUUCGCGUUCAUCCUUCUCAACCUUUAUCAUUUGGUAUCAGAUUUGGGCGUUUUAGGUGUUCUUUUUUAAAUUGAUUUCUCGAAAACAGCUUCAAAACAAAUUUUACCCCUAUAGUUUUCAAAAAAAAUAUUUCUCAGUGGGUAAACGAUUUUCAAAUGAUCUAAAAUUUUGCAUACUAUUUCUUGGCACUAUUUUAAAGUAUAAAAAAAUAUUUCCCACAAAAAAAAGUGAUAAAAAAGUACAAAAAAAUACGAAAAAAAAAUAAAAAAAAUUUCGUGGGUUGAAUUUUGUGCCGAAACUUUCCAGAUCAAAUCUACAUUAUUUGAGGAGGCUUCAGUUUAAAUUUUGUGAUUUUUGGAAAUCGGGAACACCUUGAACGAAGUUUGUCUAGUUGCUUCGCAGUUUUUCGGGUUUUCGGGUUUCAACAAUUUUCAUUGACUCUUAGCUUUAAGUAUUCAUUUGUUUUCCUUUUUAUUUGUUCCUUACGCAUUCUAACACUUUCUUGUUUCUUGUGUUAGUAGGUUAAAGCACGUUGCAUAUUCCUUCAUCCGUGCAACAAAAUUCUUUGAUGUCUAAGCAAAUUUUGGACUCAUAGUGCUAUUAGGUUUGCUUUGAUGUUUGAUUCUAAAACAUCUUGAUUGAUUGAUAUAGACACUUUUAAAAGACUCACAAGAUUAAUUCUUACCUCAUUGAGAUUUUUUUUUUGAGUGCAUAUAGGUGAGGUUUGCUUAAUUUUUUCUUUUGAAGUGUUGUGCUUUUCCAGGCUUUCACUAUGACUCGUGACACUCGUGCCCGUAAAAACCAUGAUGAGAUACCAUCUGAUGACAAAGAAUAAGAUGUUACAUUGGAGAAUAUUGUGGGGAUGGUAAAAUUGCAACAUCAACAAUUGAACGAGGUACGUGAUACAUUUGAGGCCAAUUUGACUACGUGUCAACAGAACUACAAGAGAACAUUAAUCAGCUUUCCAAUCAUAUUCAAUUGCUCACUCAAGCUGUUGCUCGUUUGGAGACUUCUUCAAAUCGACGAUCUCGUGCUCGUGAUAGUGAUCAUGAUAGGGAUAAUGAACAACUUCGUAUUCGUUCUAAUCCUAGUAGACACGAAUAUCGUCACAUUGAUGAAACUUUGGGUAUUUCUAAUCAAGGCCAUCCUUCUGUCGCUAAACCAAAGUUCAACAUUCCACCAUUCCAAGGAAAGUAUGAUCCAGAUGCAUAUUGCGAUUGGGAGGAUAAAAUGGAGAUCAUGUUCUGUUGUUAUAAGUGUCUGGAGGAGGAGAAAGUUCCAUUAGCUAUAUUGGCAUUUUCUGAUUAUGCAUUGAGUUGGUGGACUCAACUUGUGUUGAACCGCCAAAGGAAUUGUGAACGAGAUGUUGAUUCAUGGGAACAGUUGACACAAAUCAUGCGAAAACAUUUUAUCCCACCUCAUUAUUAUAGGGAUAUUAAACGAAGACUUCAACGCCUUGUUCAAGGUAAUCGAUCUGUUGAUGAGUACUUUAAAGAGAUGGAGAUGCUUAUGCAUAGAACAAAUAUCCAAGAAGAUGAGGAGACUACCAUGGUGCGGUUUGUAGAUGGUUUGAAUGUUUUGAUAGCCAAUGUUCUUGAUCUUCAAACCUACAUUGAUCUUGAAGAUACGGUACGUAAGGCAAUUGAGAUUGAGCGACAGUUUCAACAACGUCAAUCUCGUUCAUUUAGUACUUCACAAUAUUAUAGAGGUACGAGUUCUAAUUCUACUUUCAAGAAUUCGAAAUUUCCUUUUGCUACUAAUAAGUUGCUGCCAAAACAUGAUGAGACUAAAUCUUUUGAGGGGAAAAGUGGGGCUUCUACAAAACCUUCUUCAUCAUCUUUUAAGCAGUUCACUUCUACUACUUCACCAAAAAAACAAUGAGCUCGUGAAAUUGAAUGUUUUAAGUGCAAAGGGCGUGGGCACUAUAGCCGUGAUUGUGCCAACACAAGACUUUUGUUGAUCAAAGAAGAUGGUGAUUAUACUUCUGAUUCCGAUAAAACAGACCCAGAUAUGCCCGAAUUAAUUGAUGAUGUCAAUGAUUGCGGUAAAUUUUAUGGUGAAGAAGAGUUGGUGGAACCACUAACUCAUCCCCGAUGUUUAGUUGUGAGGCGCACACUCAACAUCCAAUUGAAGGAUGAUCAUGAUCUUCAACGGAGUAAUAUAUUCCAUUCGAGGUGUUUGAUUAAAGGUACAUUUUGCUCAUUUAUCAUUGAUAGUGGAAGUUGUGCUAACGUUGUGAGCAGCUACCUUGUGGAUUCUCUUGCUUUGCCAUGUAGCAAACACCCUACACCAUACCAUCUUCAAUGGCUUAAUGAAGGUUCGGAGGUCCGUGUGGUAAAACAGUGCUUGAUCACUUUUAAACUUGGGGCUUACAUUGAUGAUGUUUGGUGUGAUGUCGUUCCCAUGCAUGCCGCCCACUUGUUACUUGGUAGACCAUGGCAGUACGAUCGUGAUGUUAUUCAUCAUGGUAAAUUAAAUCGAUAUUCUUUUAUUUUCAGUGGAAAAAAGUACACUUUCACCCCUUUGAAUCCGAAAGAUAUUCACAAUGAUCAAAUCGACAUGAUGAAGUUUUGUAAGGAGGUUAUGGGAAGUAAGACACAAAAUUCAAAAAAGGUUGAGAGAAAAGAGGUCUCUAGUGAAAAGAGCCAAAUUAAUAAUGACCCAAUGGUGAGUGCAUCCUCUUGUGAGAAAAAAAGAGUGGUUCAUAAUUUUUAUGCGAGUGGAAAAGAUGUGCGACGAGCCUUACUCACUAAACAACCUUGCAUCAUUAUUCGAUUUAGGCAAAACUGUUUAUCUUUGACUAACCUUCAUAACUCUUUGCCUAGUGUUUUUAUGUCUCUUUUGCAGGAAUAUGAAGAUAUUUUUGAAGCAGCACCUAAAGGAUUGCCACCUUUGAGGGGUAUUGAGCAUCAAAUUGACUUAAUACCUGGGUCAAUAAUUCCAAAUCGACCAGCUUAUAGAAGCAAUCCCGAUGAGACGAAGGAGUUACAAAAGCAAGUAGAUGAACUUUUGGCGAAGGGUCACAUUCGUGAAAGUUUAAGUCCUUGUGCAGUGCCGGUAAUUCUGGUGCCAAAGAAAGAUGGUACGUAUAGAAUGUGCGUCGAUUGUCGACCAAUUAACCAAAUCACUAUUAAGUAUAGACAUCCUAUUCCAAGGCUUGAUGAUAUGUUUGAUGAACUUUAUGGUGCUUGUAUCUUUACAAAAAUUGAUUUUAAAAGUGGCUACCAUCAAAUUCGAAUGAAAGAGGGGGAUGAAUGGAAAACAGCAUUUAAAACUAAGUUUGGUUUAUAUGAAUGGUUAGUCAUGCCUUUCGGUUUGACUAAUGCACCUAGUACUUUCAUGCGCUUGAUGAACCAUGUUUUGAGACCUUAUUUGGGUAAAUUUGUGGUAGUAUAUUUUGAUGAUAUUCUGAUUUACUCAACUUCUUUAGAUGACCAUGUUUUUCAUGUUAAAUCAGUUUUGGAUAUUCUGCGAACUGAAAAAUUAUUUGCCAACCUUGAUAAAUGCACUUUUUGUUGUGAUAAACUAAUCUUUUUAGGUUUUAUAGUAAGUGCUCAAGGUAUUCAUGUCGAUGAGGACAAAGUAAAGGCAAUUAGAGAAUGGCCCACUCCUAAAUCAAUUACCGAGGUGAGAUCUUUCCAUGGUUUAGCAAGUUUUUAUAGACGUUUUGUGAAGGAUUUCUCCACUAUUGCUGCUCCAUUAACUGAGAUUAUUAAAAAAUCUGUGGGUUUUAAAUGGGAAGAAGUUCAGGAAAAGGCUUUUCAAACUUUAAAGGAUAAGUUAUGUUCUGCUCCGGUUCUUAAAUUACCUAAUUUUUCUAAUACUUUUGAACUUGAAUGUGAUGCUUCAGGUAUUGGAAUUGGUGCCGUGUUGAUGCAAGAAAAAAGGCCAAUUGCAUAUUUUAGUGAAAAACUGACAGGGGCACAAUUAAACUACUCAACUUAUGAUAAGGAGUUGUUGGCAUUAGUCCGAGCUCUACAAGUUUGGCAACAUUACUUGUUGCCAAAUGAGUUCGUUAUCCAUACAGAUCAUGAAUCCCUAAAAUGGUUAAAGGGACAAUGUAAGUUAAGUAAGAGACACGCUCUAUGGGUGGAAUUCAUAGAGACAUUUCCAUAUACAAUUAAGUAUAAAACAGGUAGAGAAAAUGUAGUUGCUGAUGCCUUAUCUCGUAGAUAUUCUUUGAUAACUACAUUAAAUGCUAAAGUCUUAGGGUUUGAACAUAUAAAAGAUUUAUACUUAAAUGAUAUUGAUUUUGCAAAUGUUUUUUCUAAUUGUGGGAAUGGUGCCUUUAACAAGUUUUAUAUUGUAGAUGGGUUUCUUUUUCGCCUAAACAGGUUAUGUGUUCCACAAUGUUCAAUGAGAGAGUUAUUAAUUCGUGAAGCACAUAGUGGAGGCCUCAUGAGACACUUCGGUGUCGCCAAAACACUAGAUAUUCUACAUGAACAUUUUUAUUGGCCGCACAUGAAAAAGGACGUUGAAAAGGUCUGUUCUAAUUGUAUUACUUGUAAACAAGCAAAAUCUAAGGUAAUGCCUCAUGGACUUUAUACUCCUUUACCGAUCCCUUCUUCGCCAUGGGUAGACUGAUCUAUGGAUUUCAUUCUUGGUUUACCACGAACAAAAAAGGGUCGAGAUAGUAUCUUUGUUGUUGUUGAUAGGUUUUCAAAGAUGGCUCACUUUAUUCCUUGUCACAAAACGAACGAUGCUACACAUGUGGCUGACUUGUUCUUUCGAGAGGUGGUGCGCCUACAUGGGAUACCUCGCACCAUUGUAUCGGACAGAGACGUAAAGUUCCUAAGCCACUUUUGGAAAGUAUUGUUCGUUCUUGAAGAAAUUCUCAGGGUCUAUCUUGGCUUUCACACCCGUCAGCCUCAUAAAAUUGUUCCUGAAAUACUUUGCUCCGUAUUCCUUCGCAACCUCAAAAUCCGUCUCGCCGCUUUCGUUGCUACCGACGUCGAGGUCUCGGUAAUUGAAAAACACUUCCCUCGGGUUGCUCGACGCAUACGGGGCCAUCGCAUUGUACAACCUCCUUGACAACUCGACAUAACGCCCUGUGGCGUUGAUCCCUCCGUCGGACUCGGACCAUUGGAUCCCGUACUGUGCCU